UUUUUUUUUUUUUUUGGGUACUACACAUUAUUACGGAUCCAAUUAUCAUAAAAUUAAUUUUAAGAUAAAUUGAUCAAUUGAUCAAAACAGUGCUAACACGCAGAGAGUGAUCACCUCCCGAUUUGCGUGUCAACACUGUAUUGAUCAAUUGACCAAAGUUAACUUCAUGUUAACCACUCCCCAUUAUUUUAGUAUCUGGUUCCCAAAAUUUUACUUGGAUAUAUAGUAUUGUGGCUAUGAUCAAAAAGUAGAAAACUUUUGAACUUUUUUUCUGUAACAAACUAUUACAGUCAUCUAAUUGUGACAAUCAUAGUCAAACUUUUAUUUCUCUCUAUAUAUAGAUAUAGAUAUGCGUAUAAAUUAUCCGAUUGAUAAAUAAACACAAUUGGGUUUGGUUUUAAAUGUGAUAUGUAUCUCUACUAAAAAGUGAGCGGAGAGCGCUAGGCUGCAUGUAUAGCGCGGAGCGCGUCAGUGACGAUCUGAAAGCGGCGCGGGGCGUGCCGAUCGGCGGACAGAGUUUUGCUGGUUCGUUUGUUGGAAGAAUAUUAUGAGUAUUUAAAUUAUAAUGUGAAGUAGGGUUGAAAUAGAAUUAGUAGCUAUAAAUACUAUUUAUUAUAAAGUCCUAUGUAAUUGAAAUCAUCAAUAAAAAUAACAAGCUGCCUGUGGAAUACUCAAAUUAAAAAACUACGUAAAUCUCUGUGUUAAUUAUCUAUUGUUGUGUGCGCGUAUGAUUCUAAUUCUAACAAAAACAUUGGAAUAAAUAUCUUGUUAUUAACCCUCACCCCUACCUAGGUAUACCUGUGUGCUGCAACCUGCAAACCCAUGGCCACCUCAUGUAGAUGUAGUUUUCCAAUAGGUAGAAAGGUGUAGUUGGUUAAUGGAGUGAGGUCAUUGUCCUUGUUUCUAGUUUCUAGUCUUUUUUCUCAUUAUAGAACAUAUAUAUAUAAUAUUCCAAUAUUAAUGGACUGCGCGCUGCUAUAUAUUAAAUAUAUCUAUGCUUUCAUGCUUGAAUUCUAAACAAUGUGCCAUCAAUGCAGAAGAGCACAUUGUACCUAUUGAUGGCAUGGGCAAAGAGACUUUCCUAUACCCUAAAACAUUUUUAUAUAUGCAAUUUGUGAACCAAAUUAUGGAUUUCAUAGAGUGAGAUUGGGACAAAACAAACAAAAUUAUUUAAACCUUACAAGUUACAACAACAUGACUCCUUUUUUUCACUAAAAAUAAUUUAUAAUAUAUAUAUAUAUAUAUAUAUAUAUACACGGUUCGGAUCUUAAACUCACCCCUUAUCUAACAUACAUUACUCACCUUCUUUUAACGAUGAACCGGACGACGAUUUGAUCUGUCACUUAUUUAUAUAUAAUAUUUUCCUUAUGAUUUUUGAACAUCCUAACAUUUGAAGCAUAAAGCUAAGUGCAUGUAUGAACUAAAAUUUUAACAUAUACUAAUUAUAGUGAUCAUGUUAAUCUUCUCUAUAUUGCAUGUUUCCCAAUAACUUAACUUUACUAAAUAUAGUUUUAAAAUGAGUUUAGAUGGUUUAAUCAUGAUAAUUAUUGGCUUAAGGGCACUCCCUGGUGGUAGGUGGGCCAUGUAAUUAGCUAGGGUAGUAGAUUAUAUUUAUAUAAAACAACUCCCAUUUUAUCAUUCAGGACACGUGGAUCACAAGAGCUAGGUAAGGANNNNNNNNNNNNNNNNNNNNNNNNNNNNNNNNNNNNNNNNNNNNNNNNNNNNNNNNNNNNNNNNNNNNNNNNNNNNNNNNNNNNNNNNNNNNNNNNNNNNAUAUAUAUAUAUAUAUAUAUAUAUACUAGUUGAUUGUGGUGGGUUAGUUUGAAUAACGAAUUGUAUAAUUUAUUAAAAUUAUUGCGAUAAAAAAUAUAUAUUUUUAUAAUAAGUUUUUUGUUGCGAUAUUUCAUCUGAAUUUUACAUCGGAUAAAUUCAAAAGUGUAAAUGAUUUAAUAAGUAUGGUGAAAUCUUAACCUAAUAUUUUAACUUUAUAGAUAAGGAAGUAAUCUAACAUAUUUAUUGGACCAAUUUAUACGAGAUGGAUACAAUAAACAUUGUAUUCAAUGUCAUACAGUUGUUGUUCCAUUUUUUGUUCUGCACUUCGAAUUUUUUUCUCUAAAUCUGCAAGCAACCGAUGUCUGAAAUGGAACCUCUGAGAAAUUUGUGGUAUUAUUUUAUGCUUUUAUUUGGAAACUUGAAAUCUUUGUACCGUUAAACUUUGAGGUAGAGGAUUCGUAUGAACCAAAAUUGGAUGCCGAGUCCGUUCAAUAUUGAUCAAGUUAGGGUUCGUUUCUACAGAUACAUCAUAGGAUAGGGUAUGAUAUCUGUUUAAUUAUAACUUAUCGAUCAGUAAUUGAUAAUUUUAAAAGUUCGCAAAUCUAAUGCUUAUCAUAUUCUCUAUCUAUCUGCAUUUGAGACUCUCAUAAUUAUCAUUUUUACAUGUUAAAAAAAACUGCAAGUAGCAUAUAUAUAAGCAUGAGGACAACUUCUCAUGCCUACUUGCGAUUUGAAUCUGAUUAGUGAUUAUUUAAUAAACUACAAAAAUUCUACUUAAUUUAUCGAAUAUGUAUGGAUUCAUGAGCAAAAAGUAAAUAUAAAAACUUACCUGAGAAUUGCAUGCUUCCGUGUUUGUGAUUUUUAAAUAUGGGAUUACAGACAUGUAGAACAAGCAUUAUUGUUGGGCCAUGAUUCUUUUUCUUAUUGGGCCAGAUUUAAUGGGCUCCUCCCUUAGAUUAUGUUACUUUUGUCCUAUUGAUUCGAAUGAUUUGAGCCCAAUUACUUGAUCAUUUAGUUGGGUUGUCUCGGUUGGAUCCGGUCAUAUGAGUCAUUUCCUUUAUUUGGGCUUAGUCAUUGAAUUAGCCUAUUAUGUAAAUUAUCACUUAACCCAACUUUGACCGGUAAUCAUUACGCCAAAUAAUAGUUGAUUGUUAUGUCUGCCACCUUUCUGCAUGGCAUUAAUGAGGAUGAGACUCAGAUAACCGGCGGUGGCAAAUAGUGGUAGCAGGUGAGGAAGUAGGCUACAUACUUUCGGCUGAAAUGACCGGGAGUGGGGAAAAGGUAUCAGGAGGUGAUGGGUGGCACGGUAAACCGGGAUUGGAGUACGUAUGGGGCUAAGAUCACAACAAAAAGGGAGGUAAGUAACAAAUUAUAAUAACACACGAUCAUAUUAUUAUUUUUCUCUCAGACAUUAGACAUUAUUUUCCCUCCAUUGUUGACCUUGUGAUCGCCGAUACUGACUCUCACGCCGGAGCUAUCCCCCGACGGUCCGGCCGUCAAGCUUUUGGUGUUGACUUGUUGAACUGUGCAGGAUAUCGGACGCGUCUUGGUGAUUGGGACGUGGAGAAAGAUCUUGGCGUUAACAUUGGCGCUAGAAGGAGGGCGUGAGUUCUAGUAUCUUGAGUAUUUUUCAAUCACAAACUGUAUUUGUUCUACGUCAAUAUUCAUGGUGAAGAGUAGAACACCUACACCCGAAGGGCAGCCUAUGGCUGUCAGUGAAUCAACACCGCGAGUGUCUGUCAAGGAUCGUUUGGGACCUGCAAUAAGUGUUCAUGCCAGCACAGCGUCCAAACGAUCACAUGAAGAUUUUCGGCCGAGGGCUGUGGGCAACGUCAAGCGUAAGCUAGUUUUCCCGACAGAGAAGGGGUCUGGCCAUGGUCGGAAACGGGUAGAAGGCACCUCGCCUAGAACUCGAUACCGAAAUGACCAAGACGAAAAAGCCUCACGACUGGCUAAAAUGGCAGAUGAAGCGGAUAGGGCCAUGGAGGCACUUGUGAAACAGCGACAGGAGCUGAGCAAAUGGCUCGAAUGACGGAGUUGAGAGACGAAGAGUUCAGUUAUGUUCAGUCCGAAGAGCUAGGGCAUCGGAGUGGGAAGGAGCCUGCCCAUUCAGGACGUGGGUAUCGGGGCCAACCACGAGAAAGAAGAAGAUCCCGAAGCCCUACUCCUCCAAGAUCGAAGAGGGCACAUCACCCUGUCGACUCUAAGGAGCAGGGUCGAAGCGAACGAAGAAGUCGAUCCAGAGAUCGCACUCCUAAGAGCACAAAGAAAGCACUUGUUGUUGCACAUUCCCGCCAGAGCGCCCGAGUUUAUAGACGAAGUAUAUCUAGAGAUCAUACUCCCGGGAGUCUACUGAGGGUAUAUCACCCUGUAGACGCUCGUCAUCGGAAAAGUCCCUCUAAAGUUGGAGGAUCUAUUGUAAGAAAUCGGUCUACUCAGAAGAGGAAGGAGUCACCGGAAAAGAAGCAUCGUCUCAACCAGAGGGCGUGGAGUAUUUGGUUAAAGAAUUAAAGGAGCUUCAGAAGCAGCUUGCCGAAGUGCAAAAAACGAAGGAUACUUCGGGAAAGAAGGCAUCCCUUUUUUUCGAGGAGAUUCUAAAAGAGAAGGCUGAUCCCACCAAGAAGUUGCCCCACAUUGAAAGUUAUGAUGGAUCGGGGGAUCCUUACGACCACAGUCAGGCGUUCGACUGACUGAUGGAUUAUUAUGACUUUAGCGAUGCUGCUAAAUGUCAUACUUUUGUCACAACGCUUAGAAAGGAUGCCCGACAGUGGAUGGGGACCUUACCCUCAGAUUCAAUCUCAUCUUGGGAAAACAUGUGCAGUAAAUUUCAUGCUCGCUUUGGGACCAACAAAAGAAGGGGAAAACCAACUGGUUCAUUGGCUCAAGUUCGGUAGUCUUCUAAUGAGUCUUUAGGCCAAUAUGUGAAGCGGUUUCGUGAAGCAGUCGGCCAAGUGACAGACCUGAACGAUCUACAAGCUGUGGGACUGUUUCAGAAUGGGUUAGAUUUGGUCAAAUCGGAAAAGUUGGUGAAGAAACUAAUGUUUAAUCACCCGAAGAGUCUCGCUGAAGCCUUUGACAAAGCCGAAGGCUACAUCGUGGUGGAGGAAGCCAUGAGCAGCCUCAAACGUCCUUCUUCAGACCGGCUUAAGGAGACAGAUCGGGACAAAACCGAUGGGGACCAGAAGAAGAAUGAAGGGAGUAAAGACCGUUAUGAGGGCGGGUCGAAGAGAUAUAAUAAUUGGAGACAGGGUGGAGGACGUUCGUCCGCUCCAGCCCAAAGAGUGAAUAAGACGUACACGGCACCCAAUGCAGACAGGGCUGUUAUCUUGGAUCAGAUUAAAAAUCAACCUAUCUAUGAGCCACCUCGAGAUAACAUUAAGCCUGGAAAAGGGAAUCCUCGUAAGUACUGUGAUUACCAUCAAGCUUCGGGUCACGAUACGAAUGACUAUGCUAGUUUGAAAGAUUUCAUUGAAAGAAUGGUACAAGGUGGGGCCUUAAUUCAGUAUGUGGCUGCCAGAACUAAUCAACAACAAGAUAGAGGACCUGUUCCGACAGCUCAACCAGUUCAGCAAGAGUUGCCAGCUCCGGGAUAGCCUGCAAGGCAUGUGAUAGAUGUCAUCACUGGGGGUACAUCUGGCAAGCUUGUUGGAAAGAAGCGCCGAAGUUACUUGGAUUCGGUCAUGUCAGUGGCGGGUACCCUCCCGAAGACUGAUAGAUCUUAUCCAAGUACGGUAAUCUCCUUUACUGAUGAAGAUUACCCUUCGGAAGUCAUCGAACCGCACGAAGGAUCAUUAGUGCUGACUGCGCAAGUGGGUUCGGUGGAUAUGAAGCGGAUGAUGGUAGAUAAUGGGUCUUCUGUAGAUAUCUUGUACGCCCACGCUUAUCAAAGGAUGAAUCUGGACGGGCGGAAGAUGGAGAUAGGGCAGGAGGCUCCUCUGUAUGGUUUUAGUAAUGAUCCAGUCAAGGUGGCUGGGACCAUUGAGCUACCGGUAAUCUUUGGAACGGCCCCUCAACAGGUAGAAAUUAUUUGCAAAUUUUAUGUUGUGCAUGUAGAUUCUGCUAAUAAUGCUAUUUUGGGGAGGCCUACUUUAAUUGCUUUACAAGCUGUAACAUCAAUACCUCAUUUCAAAAUCAAAUUUCCUACGGCUCACGGGGUUGGGGAGGUUAAAGGAGAUUUGGAUCUGGCCAGAAGGUGUUACAGAAAUGCUGUGAUUACUUCGGGAGUGGGGGUAUCGAAGCAGAAGCAGACCAUGGCGAUAGAAAUCGAGCCCUUCACUGAGAGUAAUUCCGAGCCAUUAGUCAUGCCAGCUGAAGAAACAGAAGAGAUAGAGCUCAUCCCGGGCAAGGUGAAAAUAGGUUUGGGUUUGCCGGAACCUCUCCGGACGAACCUUGUGGAACUCCUGAGGUGCUAUGUUGACAUCUUCGCGUGGGAACCUCAGGAUAUGCCCGGAGUAAGUAGGGAUAUUGCUGAGCAUCGAUUGGAAGUAGACCCGUCAAAGAAACCAGUACGGCAGAAGAGGAGGAUCUUUGCACCUGAGCGUCAACGGAUCAUAGAUGAAGAGAUUGCAAAACUGUUGGCAGCUAACUUCAUCUUUGAGAUCGACUACCCACAGUGGAUGGCAAAUGUGGUGCUGGUCCAGAAGCAGAAUGGUAAAUGGCGAGUCUGCAUCGACUAUACUGAUCUGAACAAGGCCUGUCCGAAGGAUUUCUACCCGCUGCCCCACAUCGUUCAACUCAUUGAUGCCACUUCGGGAUAUUCUUUAUUAAGUUUUAUGGAUGCAUUCUCUGGGUAUCAUCAGAUCUCCAUGUGUAAAGAGGAUAUACCGAAGACGGCGUUCAUUACGUAUCGUUCGGUAUAUGCCUCUAAGAAAAUGACUUUCGGCCUCAUCAAUGCCGGAGCCACAUACCAGAGGAUGAUGAACCAUGUCUUCAGAUAUCAGUUGGGCAGGAAUAUUGAGGUGUAUGUGGAUGACAUGAUUGUCAAAAGCAUGUUGGUGCAUAAGCAUUUGGAUGAUUUAGAGGAAUGCUUUCAGACAAUUCGUCAUCACAACUUGAGACUGAAUCCCACUAAGUGCACCUUCGGUCUAGGGGUUGGCAAAUUUCUGGGUUAUCUUGUCAGUCAAAGAGGAAUUGAAGCCAAUCCAGAAAAGAUUCAAGCGAUCCUAAACAUGAAGACUCCUCAGUCAUUUAAAGAUGUUCAACGUCUGACUGGAAGGAUUGCAGCUUUGCGGAGGUUCAUGUCCAAGUCGCCAGAAAGAUGUUUGCCAUUUUUUGAUACGUUAAAAGGACCGAAGAAUGCAAAGACGUUCCAAUGGACUUCGGAGUGUGAAGACGCCUUUCAAAGCAUCAAGUCCUACUUAUCUUCGGCGCCUUUGUUGGUAAACCCCGUUCCUGCCGAGCCUCUAUAUUUGUACUUAGCAGCUAGCUCGUUGGCGGUAGGAGCGAUUUUGGUACGUGAAGUUGGGGAUAUGCAGCACCCGGUUUAUUAUGUAAGCCAUGUCCUUCGGGAUGCUGAAACAAGGUACCCAAACAUUGAAAAGUUUGCUUUUGUUUUAAUAACUGCUAGUCGAAAGCUUAGGCAAUACUUCCAGGGUAGAUUGGUAAUAGUAUACACAGAUCAGCCUUUAAAGAAGAUUAUGGACAAACCAGAGGUAUCGGGGAGACUAGCUGCAUGGACAAUGGAGUUGUCCCAAUUUUUUAUUGAAUAUUAUCCCCGAACCGCCAUCAAAGGGCAAGCCUUGGCUGAUUUUGUGGUUGAGUGCUCGUUUUCUGAAGCUGAUGAAGUCGUGGCCGAGGCUGAAGGAUCUGACAGAGCAGUUGUCGUUCUUCAACAGAAGGAGAGUUCAUGGACACUGUAUGCAGAUGGGUCUUCUACUACGGACGGCAGUGGAGCAGGGAUUAUCUUGACGAGUCCGGAGGGAUUCAAGGUGCAACAGGCCAUCAGAUUUCAGUUCAAAGCGACAAACAACGAAGCUGAGUAUGAGGCAGUACUUGCAGGGUUACGAUUAGGGAAGAGUCUUGAAGUGCAGAGAAUAGUCAUCUUCAGUGAUUCACAGUUAGUCGUUAAACAAUUCUCUGGGGAAUACGAAGCUCGAGGCCCUAGAAUGAUCAAGUAUCUUGCAGAAUUGAAGGAACGGCUUCAGUAUUUCUAAUUCUACGAAUUUCAGGGGGUCGAACGUAAUAACAAUUCCAUUGCUGAUGCACUCUCCAAACUAGCCACUACGGAUGUUAACGUCUUUGAUGGGUCGGUUUACUUAGAAAUUUUGCAACAUCCUAGUGUUCAUCAUGAAGCGGUGAUGUGCAUCGACAGAACCAACUGCUGGUUGACUCCAUACCUGGAGUAUCUGGCAGAUGGCGUCUUACCUUCGGAUUGGAUGCUAGCUAAGAAAAUCAAGUACAAGAGUGCUAAUUUUGUUCUGAUUGAUGGAGAUCUAUUCCGAAGGGCUUUCUCGUCUCCACUACUGAAAUAUUUGACUCCCUCUGAAGCUGAAUAUGCUCUCCGAGAAGUACAUGAAGGCAUUUGUGGCGAUCAUGUGGCUGCUAAGUCAUUAGCCUAUAAAGUGCUUCGUCAAGGGUACUACUGGCCAACCAUAUUCAAGGAAGCAACUGAGUACGUUAAGAAGUGCGAGAAGUGCCAACUCAACAGUCCAAUACCGCAUCAGCCACCAGAAGAGCUAUACUCGAUCUUAUCUCCUAUACCCUUUGCUGUCUGGGGGGUUGAUAUACUGGGUCCGUUGCCGAAAGCGAAAGGUCAAGUCAGUUUUGUUAUAGUUGCCAUCGACUAUAUGACCAAAUGAGUAGAAGCAAAGCCACUUAGGUCAAUAACGGAACAGGAGUGCUUGAAAUUUUUGAAAGAGUCAGUAGUAUUCCGUUUUGGAAUUCCUAAGGUGGUAAUAUUGGACAAUGGACGUCAGUUUGUGGGAUCGAAAUUUGAAGCAUUUUUGAAAGAACUAGGGAUCCAGCAUAGAAAGACUUCAGUAGCUCAUCCUCAGUCAAACGGACAGGUUGAAGUGACCAACAGAACGCUGCUGAAUGGGAUCAAGCACAGAAUGGACGAAGCUAAGGGCAAAUGGCCAGAAGAGCUACUUAGUGUGCUAUGGGCUUAUCGUACUACUCCAAGGACUACAACGGGGGAUUCACCCUUCAGAUUGGCCUAUGGCACUGAUGCCUUAGUCCCAAUUGAAAUUGGAUCUCCAAGUCUUCGAGUUAGUCAAUUCAGAGAGAUCUACAAUGAAGAAGGGCUGAAGGCCAAUCUUGAUUUGCUUGAAGAAGUCAGAGAAACAGCCUUAAUUAAAUUGACAGCCUAUCAACGCAGAGUAGCCAAGCAUUAUAAUAAGGGGGUAAAGCUUCGCAGAUUCGAAGUAGGAGAUUUUGUCCUCAGAGAAGUUGAAGCAUCUACGCCUCAGAAUCUGGGAAAGCUGAUGCCAAAUUGGGAAGGACCGUAUGAAAUCACUGAAGUGCCGAAGCCGAAGACUUAUCGGUUGAAGGCAUUAGACGGGUCAGUAAUUAAAAAUACUUGGCACGCUGGCAGGCUUAGGAAGUACUUUCAGUAGAUUCAAUGUCAGUACAUCGGAAGUCUGUAAAUAUUUACAUCAUCAUCAAUAAAAAUUCCCCUUUUCUCUCAAACAAAUUUUGUCUCUGUUGCUGCUCAGUUCAUUGGUGUUAGGAGGUUCGGGAGGACUCGCUGACCAUUCGAUGGUAGCCUCUUCGGCAGUUGGUCCUUAUGAGUUUGUCAGGUCCUUCGUGGUAGGCAAACGUCAUUGGUGUUAGGAGGUUCGGGAGGACUCGCUGACCAUUCGAUGGUAGCCUCUUCGGCAGGUGGUCCUUAAGGCAUUGUCAGGCCCUUCGUGGUAGGCAAUUGUCGUCACUUAGACCUUGUCAGGCCCUUCGUGGUAGGCAAGUGUCACCCUUAAAGCAUUGUCAGGCCCUUCGUGGUAGGCAAGCGUUGUCCUCCAAACUUCGUCGGGCCCUUCGUGGUAAAUGAAUGUCAUCCUUUGGUUCUGUUAGGCCUUUCGAGGUAAGCAAACUCCCGAUGAAGCAGAUCUGUCUCACACUUCGGUAACUGAAUAAGUAUCUCUUUACUUUAUUACCUAAAAUUUUUCUAAGUGUUGAGUUCGGAAUGCCUCAUUCUUUAACCUCACCUUAUCUGUUAUAUGACAUGCUUAAUUGUUAAUUAACAAUUUGAGUUGAAUCCUUGAAGGGGUUUUGUACAUUUUUCCAGAUGAAUUAAUAUUGAAGUAUUGACAGGAAGUAAAAAUGCACUGAAGUCAUAAGGGAGAAGAUCACUUUUCAUUAAUAUUUAAUCUACUUACAAUAUUAGAAAAUAACAGAAAUUUCUACAAAUGUUCUUUAAAUAAAACCAAGGAAAAACAAAAGCUGUCACUUCAAGCAGCGUCCUCGUCAUCUGAAGAGUCGAGCAAGGAUGGAUCUAUGUUGGAUGUGAUCAACUUCUCCUUGCCACGACUUCGGCAGAGCUCGUAGCUUUCAGUAUGUAUCUUCAUGAUCUCUCCGUUGAUUUCAUCCGAGUUCCGAUACUCUUCACAGAUUUGUUUGCGAAGAUCAUCAGUUAAAGGAGGCCCAAGGUCCCGAAGAGCCUUGAGUUCUCGGAUUUCUUCUUCGAGCUUCUGGCGUAUAUUCAUCUGACGAGUUUCUUCCCGCUCCAACUUAUGAAUCGUCUUAGUUAAGAGCUUAGAAUCAGCCUUUAGCUCUUUGAUCUUAUCCAUCCUUAUUUCACUCCUCUGAACCAAGUCGACAUUCAUCUUGACGAUCUCCUCAUACUGUGCUUUAGUCGACUUCAGUUCUUCCUUGGAGGUCUUUACGUCUCCCUUGGCUUGGGCCAGCUCUUUCUGAAGUCCUUCAUUUGUAUGAAGGACGCUUUCACGAUGGGUCCUUUCCCGAGCCAAAGCAGACUUCAGGAUGGCGUUCUCCUUCCUCAAUGCCUCUUCUUCGGAUUCAGCCUCGAGGGACCUCGGACGCAGACGCCCGAAUACAGCAUUCGCAUAUGCAUAUUCAGUAUUGUUUGAUCAGUUUCAGAUGUAUAAGUAUGAAGAUAAAUACGGAAAUAAAAGAGAGAAUCAUUUACCUUCGCCAAGUAGCUCAUACCUUCGCUAAGUAAAUCCACGUUCGAACUAUUCCCAAAUCGAUGGUCAUCGGUCUCACGAACGAAGGCCUCGAACAGUUGAAAGGGGAAGUUGGCAUUAAAUCGGGGCCACAUGGUUAGAGAGGCCAUAACAUCAUGCUGAAAUUCAGUGGUCGUUUGUCAUGGAGGAGGGGGCAUAAAUUGAUUACGAACCGGCGAGGGAUCCGCAUGUACCGUUUCUGGAGAAAGAGAUCGGGCAGGAGUAGGUUCGGGGGUCGAAGAAGGAGCAGAGGUUGCACCCGGCUGGCUGUCUGAAGGUUGUUUUCUUUUUCGGGAUAAGAGGGGGACAGAUUCAACCAGCCCGGCAUCAGGUGUUUGGUUUUUGGUUGGGAUUGUCGGGGGAGUAACCGUCGAAGACGUUGGAAUUCGGAGUUCUUCGGCAGUGAGUGGAGUUAUCUUUGACCUUAGCUUCUUAACACGAAGAACUUUCGCCCUAUCGCAUAAAGGUAUGUCAAGCAAGCUCCUUUUAGUUGGAGUUGAUUCAGAAGGUGCAGUAACGGGGUCAGUUGGAGGGGUUGAUUGUGGGAUUGCUUCGGGAAGGAUCUCCUCGUCGCUUUCAGGAUCUAUAUCGCGAUGGAUAGUUCUGGCUUUUUUAGCAGCUUUCUUCCUUCGGCGAGGUCUGAGGGUUUCUUCGGGAAUGAGAGGCUCGUCAGCUUCAGGUUCAUCAUUCUGAAGGGAAAUGGUUGGUGGAUCGGAGGCGGGGGGGUCGGUUCGGGAAGACUCUUCGGUAGGAAGCUCUUCACUCGCCUCCGUAGUCUUCCCUGCUAGAAAGUCUCCCAAUUCUUUCACUUCCGAAGAAGUUGGUUUGAUCAGAGACACUGCAAAUAACCAUAUAUUAAAACCCAUGCCACUUAAAUACCUCAAAAAACUAUAUUACAGAGUUGUUCGAAACUUACAUUUGUGAUCAUACAGCCAGGCUUGUUUGGUCAGAAGUGUAAAACUCCAUUUUUUUGGAGGAAUCUUCUUCAGAAAGUCUCUCAUCUCCUUCACACGCUCUUCGGAAAUGUCUCCAAAAUCAGCCGAGAUCCGAUCUGAGAUAGUCCAAUCUGGAAGAGAAGAGAUCUCUGGUCCCGUGACAAAGAACCACUUCUCGUGUCAUCCCUUGUUGCUUGAAGGGGUACUCAUCAAGGACCUCUUCUCAAAUUUGGAGUUCGGGCGAGGAGAUUGUUUGCUCAGCAUCUUAAAGCCUCGUUCUCGGGAUCUACCGGCUGAGAAAAAGGUGAAGAAAAUGUCGACAGAGGGGGUAAUCCCUAACUCAUGGCAGAAGGCAAUGAAUGCCAAUAUAUGGAUGUAGGAAUUGGGCACCAGCUGAGCGAAACCCACUCCUAUGAACCCUAGGAGGGUAACAACAAAAGCGUGAAGGGGCAGACGAAUCCCCUUUUCGAGAAAGGUAGCCGGCAUGGCGACCCAACCAUCUGGCCGCUGGUACAUUCGCUCUUCAGGAGCAGGAGCCCUUAUAGCAUAAUUAUCUGGAAUCUGAUAACGAGUCCGGAGGGUACGUAUCUCAGAUUCCGUGAUAGUAGAUGGAAUGUUGGCAUGAGGAAACUGUUCCCCAUCCUUGAAGAAAUCAGCUGCAGAUUGGGGGUUUGAACUCGAACCCUCUUGGUUAGGGUUUGGGUUGGGGUAAACUGUGCUAGCGGGAGUCACACGAAGAGGAGAAGUCUGGCUAGAGCUCGCAGUCACCAUUGUUGAAAUUUCGUAAGACAGAGAAAAAAGUUCUGGGAAGGAGAAGAAAGCUCAAAAGUUCAAAUUGGCAGGUAAAACCGUCAAAAUUGAUAAAGUUUACCUUUUAUAUUGACGGUUACACAGUAAUCGAGGGCGGCACAUUUAAUUCACAGCAAUGAUGGUGAAUUGGAAGAGGUAUCGUACGGUUUUGGAUCUAAAUAUCUUGACCAGAGUGGACUUAUGUCUAUUGAACCUCCCAUUUCUGUCUCUGAUGUCGAUUUGGACCAAAUUAGUUGGGCUUUGGUAAGUUUCACUUUGAACCUCUUGUGACUUAUCAUAAUCCGUUAUAUCAUGGGCCUAUAUUGUUUAUAGUCUUCCAUUAAACCCCUUGUUUAAUAAAAGACUAGGGGGCAAUGUUGGGCUAUGAUCCUUUUUCUUAUUGGGCCAGACUUAAUGGGCUCCUCCCUUGGAUUAUGUUACUUUUGUCCUAUUGAUCCGAAUGAUUUGGGCCCAAUUACUUGAUCAUUUCGUUGGGUUGUCGCGGUUGGAUCCGGUCAUAUGGGUCAUUUCCUUUAUUUGGGCUUAGUCAUUGAAUUAGCCUAUUAUGUAAAUUGUCACUUAACCCAACUUUGACCGGUAAUCAUUACGCCAAAUAAUAGUUGACUGUUAUGUCUGCCACCUUUCUGCAUGGCAUUAAUGAGGAUGGGACUCAGAUAACCGGCGGUGGCAAAUAGUGGUAGCAGGUGAGGAAGUAGGCUAAUACUUUCGGCUGAAAUGACCGGGAGUGGAAAAAAGGUGUCAGGAGGUGAUGGGUGGCACGGUAAAUCGGGAUUGGAGUACGUAUGGGGCUAAGAUCACAACAAAAAGGGAGGUAAGUAACAAAUUAUAACAACACACGAUUAUAUUAUUAUUUUUCUCUCAGACAUUAGACAUUAUUUUCCCUCCAUUGUUGACCUUGUGAUCGCCGAUACUGACUCUCACGCCGGAGCUAUCCCCCGACGGUCCGGCCGUCAAGCUUUUGGUGUUGACUUGUUGAACUGUGCAGGAUAUCGGACGCGUCUUGGUGAUUAAGACGUGGAGAAAGAUUUUGGUGUUAACAAUUAUCAUCUUCUGUUGUGUUGUAUAAGCAUGCAUGCAAUUAUGUGUAUGACAUUUGAUUUUAAUUAUAUAUAUAUCGUGACAUGAUCGAGGACAACUUCUAAUGCCUGCUUACAAUUUAAAUCUGGAUUAAUUUGAUGAGGCACUCCUAAACAUCAUUAUCAACAGUAGUUGUUCAUGUUAAAAACAGAAGCAAUGAAAAAUUAAAAUAUUACCCAUACAUAGGAUCAAUUAUUUUCUUAUAAUAGAAUGUAAAUGGAGAAAUAUAUAUAUAUAUAUAUAUAGCACAAAUAUCACUCCCUAUAUAUAUACUAUUCCUUUUGUUUCAUAGAAGAAGAAAAAACUCAUUUUACUUUUGAACUUAAUUAAUUUGUUUCUCAAAUAACGUACGUUAAUAAAUUAACUUUAAAUUUUGAAAAAUAUAUUCACAUAAAUCAAUAUAUGGAUAUAUAUAGUAUUGAUCAUUAAUUAUAUGUAUAUAUACAUGUGAGUUGCAACUUGAAUGAUCAAAAGACAAUUUCUAUCUCACGUCAAUCUCUUUCUGUCUCUUUCGCUAAUGCUAUAAAUAUGACUAACUCACUUCCACACCUAAUUCCAAUAUCACUUAAUUCACUACAUAUCAUAUAUUACAUACAUUUAUACUUACCAAGAAUCUCUCUAUUCUUCUUCAUCAUCAUCAUCAUCAUCAUCAUCAUCAUCAUCAUGAUGGGGGAUGAUCAUAACAAUGUCGUCAACCUCCCACCUGGCUUUCGAUUCUGCCCCACCGACGAAGAGCUCGUCGUUCACUUCCUCCAACGCAAGUCCUCUCUCUUACCUUACCAUCCCAACACCAUCCCUGAUCUUCAUCUCUAUCCUCAUGAUCCUUGGGAUUUAGAUGGUUAGUAAAUUAAUUUCUCCGAUCCUACCUAUAUAUUUCAUUCUUCCUAUAUAUAUAUAUUCUUUAAUAAACUUUUUAAGUGGUUUUAUUCAGUCAUUAUGUACUUUCACAUAACAACAUAAUUAUUUAGUUGAUUACGUUUUUAUUUCUUUUUCUUAUUCUCCUUUUGAGUAUCGCCUUUUCACAUAACAAAAUAAUUAUCACAUUUACAUUUUUCAUUCAAGUGUGACAUUAUAUUGAUUCUUAAGUUAAUUAACAUAUAUAUAUAUAUAUAUAUAUAUAUAUAUAUAUAUAUAUAUAUAUAUAUAGGUAAAGCUAUGGCAGAAGGUAACAAAUGGUAUUUCUAUAGCCGGAGGACGCAAAACCAUAUUACAAGCAACGGAUAUUGGAAUCCAUUUGGUGGUGAUGAACCAAUUUUCAGCUCAAAUACUAGCAAAAGAGUUGGUACCAAGAAAUAUUAUAUGUUUUACAUGGGUGAACCUUCCCAAGGUAUCAAAACAAAUUGGAUAAUGGAAGAAUAUGGUCUUUCGGAUGGGGCCUCCAGCAGUAGAUCAUCAAAAGGAAGACAGUCCAAUAUAGUAAGUAUAUAUAUAUAUAUAUAUAUAUAUAUAUAUAUAUAUAUAUAUAUAUAUAUAUUAAAUUUGGUAUUAUAUAUGUUCAUACAUUUUUCAGGAUUAUAGCAAAUGGGUAGUGUGUAGAGUGUACGACCAGAAUUACGAGGAUGAUGAUGGAAGGGAGCUUUCAUGUUUGGAUGAAGUUUUCUUGUCGCUAGAGGAUGAUUUCGACGAUAUUAGCUUUCCAAAUUAGAUUCUCUAGCUAGCUUAUUAGCUAGGUUAAUUAAUUAAUUAAGAUCUAUAUAUAUAUAAUGGGGUUAAUACUAACAAAUUAAGGUAUUAACGUACGUACUCCCCAUGCCAUCAAUAUAUAUAUAUAUAUAUAUAUAUAUAUAUAUACCCAAGACGGUUGAGUCUCUUUGUUUUUUCUCCGUUUUCAAGUCUCUAAAUUUAUAGUCUUAUAUAUUUUUGUGGUGGACUAAUUCCUUGACAUAAUUAAGGCCGAGUCAUUUUUAUUAUUUUUAUCAACAGAAUGGCACCAAACCUUUAUUAGUUACUGUAUUAAAAUUCAAAUCACAAGUUUCUAAUAAAAAACGAAGAAUUGUAAUAAAAUUUAUAAUAUGAAACAAGUAAUUUAAUUACAAGCACAUACUACAUUGUUGACAAAAAAACUAUUUAACAAUUAAAUAUAUCUGGAGGACCAAAUUAUUGGGUAACUAAGCUUCAGUAACAUGGAAUAAUUAUUGGUACUGUUGCUUGAAAGUUUUGUACACUUGAAUGUACACUAUUAUUAUUUUUGUCCGGUAAAGUUUUGGUAUUAUUUUAUUUUUUUUGGGUAUAUAUUAAUUUGGGUUGAAUUACAUUUGUGUGACAAAGGUAAGGAACAUUUUCUUUCCUUAUCUUUUUCUCCAAUUAAUACUACUAAAUUUCAUUUUUUAUUUUUUUUAAUAAUGGGUGAUUGCUUAGGUAAGCAUUGAGUCAUAUGUGAUGCAUAUACACCACAGCUUUAACCUCUAUGUCAUGCCAAGUUAGCCAAAUUAUGCAACAACCUUUUGGUUGUGGAUAUUGUCAAAGCAAAUAUAAUGUUAUAAGAACAAGUACUCUAUAUCUAUCUAUAUUUAUAGAUCAAUUCUCUCUCUCUCUCUCUCUCUCUCUCUAUAUAUAUAUAUAUAUAUAAGUCUCUUAUGCAUGCAUGUGCUUUAAUUGUUUGUAUUUGGAGAAGUAGUAUAUGGGUGAGAUGAUUAUUAUGAGCUGAUUAAGCAAUGAAAUGGAAUAAUAUUAAUUACUCCUAAAAAUAUUCUCAGUCGGUUAUGUUUAUUUGUAAGUAUUAUAAUCUCGGACUAUAAUUAUAAUGUCAAGACUAUUAAGCUAUUUUAUAAUCUCGAGAGUAAUAGUCUCAAGUCUAAAUUUGAAAACAAUAAAGACACUUUCAAUUUCAAGUAUAAUUCUUACAGACAAACAUAGCCGCAGGGAGUUCUAGCAUUCAUAGAGUGAAUUAACAGGAUUUUGUGAAACUGUAGCCAAUUAAAUUGCUACACGAUAUACAUUCCUAAUGACUUUAUUUAAACCAAAUUUAUGUCCCUACUUCCUACUCAAUUCCUAAAUCCAUGACAAAAUCAUAAUUAAUAUGCAUGGUUUCUAACUUGCUAUCAUCAUUUCAGUCUAAUUUUAGUUUUGUAGGUUUAUGUAACUUUUUUUUUCAUUUUUAAAUUAUACUAAACUCGAGCAGAGGUAAAUAAAUUGAUACAGGGGGAGAAUGGGGUAAUAUUUUUUGACAGUGACACACACAUGGGACAAGAGAGGAGGAACUAACAGAAUCAUAGCACCAAAAUGUAGCUUUUUAGUCAAACUAAUAAUAAUGGUAUCCACAUCAAAAAGGUCAAAUGUAAAGCCCAAAUUAAGUCAACGCUACUCAUUGGGUUAAAAAAAUACUUACAAGCUUACGAAUGACAAAGAAUUGGAAAUGCAAGCUUAUAUACAUAGAAAGAUAAAAGAAAAUUUUAUUUGAAAUUAAGUUGAUAAAAGUAGUAACUUCAAUUAAUGAUAAUUUUUUGGGCGAGUCUAUGGUAGAUUAAGAUGAUUCAAGAAGAUACUAUUGAGUUAGUGAUUUAAAGCAUUGUUUGGAUAGAUUUGAUUCGAUUCAAUUCAGACUUGAAAUUUGACUCAAAAUUUAUUUCAAACUUGAGAUUUGACUCGAAUUCUUUUAUUGUUUAACUAAGGAUGAUUGAGAUUGCACAAGUUCUACGACAACCUCCUACUACUACUUUAAAGAUCUUCUUCAUAGAGAUAAUAAAGUAAAGGUUUCAAUCCUAAAUAUUGUUUGUAGUUUGGGCUUUACCCUCCUUUGCACCCAAAAAAAUACCACUUCUAUGGUUCGAUAUACCAACUGUCACAGGCGAUGACCUCGAGAAGCCGAGGCAGUGGUUGUGUGCCACCAGAAUCAGGAAUCCAUGUUAACCUUGUCAUAGAGUGGGAUGGUUGAGCUACUUUUAUCAAUUUUCUCAUUGCAAAAAUUCCUGAAAAAAGAUAGGUUGAAACAAAUCUCAAUCCUUGUUGUAGGAGAGAGCAUAUCCUCUAUACCCAUUUUCUCUAUCUUUCUUGUGUCCCCCCACUUAAAUUUUGACACCUAACCUUUUACUUAACACCAAUUAACUCUAAAAUUAAAUAAAAGAUCAGAUGUCAAAAUUUAAGUAUAGAAUUUAAGUGGAGAGACACAAGGGGACAUGAAAAAUGAGAAUAAAGAUCUGCUCUCGUUGUAGGGAAUCUGUGAUUUUAUUCUUUACCCCCUUCAAUGUUGUAAAAUAGUUUAAUUUAUUUCCCUCAUAUUUUGCUGUAGCAAUGGAACCAAGUUGAGUUGAGUUGGAAGGAUCCGAUUAUCUAAGAACAUUUCCUUGGCAGGUUUUUGCACGCAAGUAGCUUAAGAAAAAGAAAAAAAUAAUAUUUGUAGGAGACUUGCUAUUUAUGCUAUAAAUUUGUGUCAAAAUGUGUAUCAAUACUAGUUUCACUUAUUACUCGUCUCUCUAAAAGAAUCAUCAUUAAUAAAUAUAAACGUAUUGGCUCAAAAAAAUAAAAUCGACGUAGAUAUUGGCAACCUUGUUCCGACUCCUGCAUUUGCAUUUCCAAACAUUGAACAAGAAAAAAAAAAUCAGAAGAAAUCAAAGAGGCGAGUUUUAUCUAUGAUAAUAACAAUAGAUUAGCAAAUCAAUUUACCUGGAUAACAAUUGAAUAUGGAGGCGGCAUGUGGAGUUUGGGUUCCUGCCUUGACACUGUUAAUCGAACCUGCCAACAAACAGCAAGAAAUAAUCAACAUUUGCAAUGCAACCAUCAGUAUAAGAAUUAUAAGAAACGUCCAAAAGUGAAAUAAAAGAACAAACUCCAAAAAAUUAAAAUCAAAAAGCAUACAUGUACCCAGAUGUACUUGGUCAGUUAAUAACAGUGUUUUUCUUUAUAAACCUUAUACAAAUAAUCUUUCACUUUUUUCCUUGUGUCUGUGUGUGUGUUUUGAAUGAAAAAAUAAAUCAAAAACAUAAUAUAAUGAAUAAGACAUGAAAAUAAAUCCCAAGGUCUACGUUAAUACAAAGAUAUUUCAGUGACAUAAACUCUUACUACUGAAACAUCGGGCUGUACAUUAAGAUGCGAAAAAAUACUCUACCUGAUGUUUUUCCUUCCAUCUUGGGAAAAAGCUAGUCCCUAGCAAUUGGAACAAGUGAUCUCUCAUCUCAUCAUUUGUUAGAAGCAAAGACUUGCAACUAACAGCAGCAUAUAACCAGUACCUGGCAAUAAAAUGGAAACAUGUUCAUCAAAGAUAGACUGUAGAAAGAGGAUAGUAACAUUUUUUCCCUCGAUGUAAUUUUUGAAAUUGAAUAAAAACAACAAAUACUAUCAGCGAAACUCUAAAUAUAUUACAAUCUGAAACUAGAGUCACUAUUGGACCGCUUUUUGGGUUAAAUAAAUAGUGAAUUUUUCUUUGCAGCUUGACUUGAUGAUCAAAACUAGAUUUAAAUAAUCUAAGAGCAGGGACAGUCAAGAAAAUCAGUAACGUAGUUGGUCGCAUGGUUAACAAAGUGGGCUGCAAAUCAAAGUGCAACUGUUACUUAAAUUCUUUUAUAUAAUUAAUCCCAACACACAAAACAACAGAACAUCUAAUAGAUAGCCUGUAUCGCCAACUUCAACCAAGUUUUGGAGAUGCAUGUUGAGUGACAAUCAGGAAUUGUCGUCUUCAUGAAGAUGUAAUUUAGGUGACUUCUACUACCUCUGUUCUAAAAUAUAAGAUCACUUGCCUUUGUAUCUUAUAUUUUGGACAGAGGGAGUAUUAUUUAUUUGAGAAACUCUACUUGCUUGAACUUUAAGUUGGUUGUUGCUCUUGUUCACCCGGGCAACAAAUGUUGUGCCACCGUCUUCAACCUCUUCAUGAAGAUUUCCUUCAUCAUAUCAUUCUCUCUCCACUUUUUAUUUGAAUGUCAGAAGAUUAAGAAUGAACCAGUUGAAAAGGAAACAUUAAUGUGAAUAGAAGGUAGCAGAUAACACACUUUUAGCAACGAAACAUUACCAUUAUUAAUCUAUUCUUAAAAGCCACAAGUCCAAAGAAAUUCAGUUUAAAACUAGUAUUGUCUCUAUGGGGAAUAUUAAUAGAGACGCUUCCUUCCUUGCUUGAAGUAAAGACCGAGGAGAUCAUCAAUAAACUCCUCCAUGCAGAGUAAAUAAAUAACACAACAAAAUAAGUUAAACAAAUUACCUCCUUUUAUUGUCGCCUUAAGCAAUAUUUUCCAAAAUAUAAUGUUGUAUCCUUACUAGACUAAGUUAAUUUGCAUAAGAAGAGCACACUUCUAUAAAAAGAUAUCCAUAUUGUUCCUUUCAAAAUGAAAGAAAGGUCUCUCUUUAAAAUGUUUAACGCAAAUAUCCAAUAAGGGGCCUGCUUUUAAAGUUUUCAAGAAAAGAAAGCAUACCAAUCAUCAUUCGAAUCAGGUGGAGUAGCAUAAAGAGCACCAGACUUUUUCCAAUUAUCCAACAACUCCUUAUUUUUAGGAUUCUGAGCAGGACCACCAGUUACGCGGCUUCUGUGCAACACCACAAGUGGUAAUUUCUUUGACGGGCUCAUAUUACGUAGUUGAUUAACAACAUAAUUGAGCUACAACAAAAGAGGACCCAUUAGAAGCUCUACCUAUGCAUAUGUAUAUAUGUGUAAAAACUCGAGAAUAAUUUUCAGGAAGACUAUUUCUUAUUUCUUAUUCCUCUUUCUGAUAUCCAACCAAAACAAAAUAUCCUCGUUACCUGGAAAAAGCUAAACUCGUGUUGAUUGGUAAGACCCACAUUUGCACCAUCUACCACUGCAUCAAAUGGACCAUGCCGUUGAAGCCAGUCCUGAAUGAGUGCACCUUUAAAAUUAGUCAGGAUGUCAAUGAAGAUCGCUUUAUGUACAUAAAGCCUGAAGCAUAGAAAAGUAGCAUAUAUCGUUAUAAGCAGCAGCACGGCUUCUAAUAAAAUUCUUCUUUUAUUUAAAAAAAGAAAAAUAAAGUAGCACCUGGAUAUCCAAAUGCUCAAGAAAAUUGAGGAUAACACAAAUUGUCCAAAGCAGCUACCAAGGCUUGUAGCAUACAGCUAGACUAUUAAGUGCCAUUGAUGUAGGAUGGGGUUGGAAGAAGUAAUAAGGUACCUAUCUCCGCCGAGAAUCGGUAAAGAAACACACAUAAAAGCACACAACUUUAAUCACAAAUCAAUUCAUUCAAUAAUCUCUCAAAUAAUGAAGUAUUACAAUGCUUAAAUAGAAAACUCAAUACUUUGGGACGAAGUAAAAAUUCCUAAUUCAAAAAGGAAACAAUCUCCCAACUAAAAUCUACUACUACAAUAAAACUCUCCUAAUUAAAAUCUCCUACCAUAAUUAAAAAUCUCCUAAUUAAAAUCUACUACCAUAAUUAAAACUUCUAGAAUAUCCUACUAAAAUAAUUACAUUAAUAAUCUAACAUUUAUCUCUAAAUAACAAUACAAAAUUAAUAAUAAACUUCUUGAAUUUCUUCUUCCGUAUAGCAUCAUUUUCCUCGCUUCUGAAAAAAACUCGUCCUCGAGUUUUGAAAUAUCAAAGAAUAAUAAAUAAUAGUCCGGGAGAUGCAUGCCAACAAAACAUGCGCAUCUGAUAUUUUUUAAACACAAAUUUCGAGAAUAGCGUUGACACAAGCAAAAAAUUAGAUGGACUCGAAUAUGGAAUUUGGCAUAAGAAAGUCAACAUGUUCUCUCUGUUCUAAAAAUCGGCCUAGGCGGCGCCUAGGCGCUAGGCGGGGGCCUGGCGACAGGCCUAAGGCCAAAUCGGUGAAAAAGACGGCCUAGGCGGGUUAGGCGGAAAAGGCGGGGCCUAGGCGGAUUUUUUUUUUUUUUUUUAAAUUACUACCAAAACCAAAUUUUGAUAUAUUUAUUUUUUUAAUAAUUUACCAUAUUCUUAAUGCAAGUUGUAACAUAUCAAAUCACAACAAGAAAUGAACAAGAUCACGUCAAAAUGGAUAAUUUUAUUAUAGUUGUAAUCUUUUGAACUUGUACCAACUUGAAAUUCUAUAAAUGAUGAUACAUUUGUAAUAUUUAAUUUAAUUCAAUAUAAUUCUUAAAUUUAUGUUUAGUUUAAUUUCUUAAGUUUUAAUAUUGAAUUGAAUUUUUAAAAUUUAAAAUUUUAUUAUUUAAUACCAAUUUUGUUUAUGAAUAAAACUAAUGCGUCAAAGAUAUGUUAGUCAUACUUAGUAUAUGGUAUUUGUCAUUUUCUUUAAGUCCUCAAUUUUGAAAAUUACACAAAUUAAAAUAAUUUCAUAAUUAAUAGUAUCAAAUGUCUCAUUCAAUAAACUUCACACUAAUUUUUAAAAAUAACAUUUAUUUAAAUUUUUGAGAGAGAAGAAGUACGUAUAUAAUUAUAUAUAUGAAGAUAUCAAGAUACUUCUUACUAGUUACUACUUACUAGUAACAUUAAUUCUAUAAUUUAAUUAUUUCAAGCAAUGGAUAUAUAUCUUACUACUUAAGUGCAAUUACUAUUAUUUCUAUAAUUUAAUUAUUAUCUUUAUUAUAGAUUAUUUUGUUUUAUAUUAUUAUUUUUUUAGAUUAAUGUAAGAUAAAAUAUUAAAAUUGUCUUAAAAUAAAAAAUCUCGCCUAGGUCCUCCAGGCGCUAGGCCCCCCUGGUUGCCCGCCUCCCGCCUAUCGCCUUUUAGAACAUUGCAUGUUCUACCUCAAUUGCGUCUUUCUUUUUUUGUUCAACUUCUUGGUCAACAUGGUUCACCUCUUUCAUUGCAUUUUCUUUAAUGCAAACCUCCUUGGAAUCUUCAAUGGAUACAACAUUCUCAAUUUCAACCACUUUAAGAUUCUCACGAGUCUCGACGUGUCGAAAUUCUUGUUCUUGAAGAAUUUCACUGUCUCCUUGUAUUUAACUUAUGAUCUGGCAUCACACUUUUAACCUUUGUGUUGAUUCCUUGACCACAUGUUGGAAUUGCAACAAUGAAUUUUGAAAUAUUUGCCUGAUUUGCAACAAGUGCUACAAUAGAUUCUUCUACUCUUCUAAUACAACUCAAUUAUAAGUCACCAUAACUAAUAUAGUAUAUCUAUUUUCUCUUGCCUUACCAACACUUUUUUUUGGCUCUAGGGGUUUAGGGGUGCAGAAACUAUAAAGAAACAGGGACCGAUUUGAACUUUUUUGAAACUUCAGGGGCUCUCUUGUGAUUGAUACUAGGAGUUGUACAAAUGUUAUCUCUGAGGAAAUAGUUAAGAAAUUUGGAUUAAAAAUUGAGCCUCACUCGGAACCGUAUGAUAUUGCAUGGAUUACCAAUACAAAGUUACCCAGAAGUGUUUGGUUACAUUUUCCGUUGGCAAGUUUAAGGAUACCGUAUGUAAUGUUCUACCCCUUAAGGUUUGUAACAUUAUUUUAGGGCGUACAUGGCUAUGGGAUCGUCAUGCGCAAAAUGAUGCUCGUGCUAAUAUUUAUUCGAUUAUCAAAGACAGUACCAAGUUCACUCUUACUUAUGCAAUCGGCAUGCCAAAUUUCAAGCUUGCAAAGAAUUCUUUAGCGAUCCGAAGUGCUUAUCCUUGUGUUGAUAUUUUUAACUCGACAGGGUCGAGUUUUUCUCAGCAGAGGAGAACUGAUGACCAUCUAGGCAUACGAUUUCUUACCUAACUUUAAUUUUUUUUAUACUUUGUAUAACUACGUAUUCCAUUCCUAAGUUAUAACUUUUUGCACAGUAUCCUAGAGAGGGGUUUAUAAGGUGAGUGAUUAUCCCGUACAUAUAAAUUACAGAUUUUAAGCUAUUAGAUAAAUCCUAUCAAGAAAUGCAUAUCUUGCACCAUUUCAUUGUUCAAAGACAUGCAUAUAUUGUAACUGCCAUCCAACUAUAAGCUAAAUCCAAUCUAGAAAUGCAUACCUUGCAACCCUUCUUCUAUAAGUUGAGUAGAUUACUUAUAAAUAUCGUCAGGUUUAUCCAGAAAUCCUAAUAUGUUCAUUGACAGACAAGAUGUGGAUCUAGCUUAAAAUUUGUAAUAGACAUACACAGGAUGCAACAAGACUCUUGUUUUAUCAACGGUCAUCAGAGCGUUGCAUCCACCCAUGUCAUAUCAAGAUUUUAUAUCCAUUCGUUGGCAACAGCUGGUGAAGCAGUAUUGAUGCAGGACAAAAUAUUUCACUAAUAAAAAUUCUUUUUUUUAAUGUUUUUUAUUUUAUAAGUUCCUACUGUAUAACUUCAUAUUGGAUGUUUGAAAUAUAUCAAUAUGAUGACAAGUGCCAAACAGGUGUCGUAAUGCAAUCCUUCGAUAAACCCUAGUGUAAACCAAAUCAUGAAAUAUAUCAUAUGUUAAUUUUGGUGAUUACAUCAUGACUAAUUCUUCAUUCGAAUAGAACCAACAUAAUCAACUAGGAUUUAAGAACUUGGAAACUUGGAACCCUAGUAACUAGGAAUUCUAAUCCAUUUCAUAAGUAAAUAGUACACAUACACAUGUAUCUAAAAACUCCAAGUAAAUCUCAAAUAAGUUAAUAACUUUUAAGAAGUCGGUCAUACCCGAAACUGCAGAAAAUCAGUCUUCACCUUUCUUUCACAAGCCAACGUAGUUAAAGAAUUGGCAAAAUUUUCUCUCUCUCUAGGAUCAAUGUCAAUACAGACAAGCUUCUCCCCGCACAAAUGGCACACACCACUCUCGUCCAUCUCGGUCCUCCCCACUGUCCAUUUCCCACUUCCUAACCAUCCUUGCCCGUGCCACCCACCUCCUCCCUUCACAACCCCCUCCUUUACUUUCCUCAUAUCCCAGUUCUCACCAACUUUUGCAGCACUCUCUGACCCAAACCAAUCCUCCACAACCGCGGCACUCUCUUCCGACACCUGCCUUGCUGUUACCCUCAACCUAUGCAACAUUUCAUAGACUCUAUCCACCCUUUUCACAUCAAAACUAACCUUCAAAAGAGCCCGAAUCUCGUCUUCCUCAGCCAAAACCCCAGAUUCAACCAUAUGCUCAUCAACCUCAUAUGCCUUAUCUGCCAUCCCCUUCUUACAGAACCCAAACAAUGCCGGCCCAUAAGACCUCAAUUUGGGCAAAAGACCACAACUUUUCAUUUGUUUCACCAAAUCAAAAGCCAUUUCUGGGUCUUCCUUAGCAGCAGCCAAUCUCGCCGCACUUGUAAAAGUAGCCUCAUUUGGAACAACUUUAUCUAUACCCAUUUGCUUAUAUAUUUCAAAACCCCUCUUUAAACCCAAAUCCAUAGCACCCUCUAAUUCUAACGAACACAAAUAUAGCAAAACAUUAUAAUGGUGAACAGUAAGUGGAAUGUUAUUUACCCUUGCAUCGUCGUAAAGGCGAAUUGCUUCUGCAAGAUUAUUAUCUUUAGAGCACAAUCCCAGCCGGUGGUGAAGCAAUCCUUGUGGGGAUUCCCGGAUUGCUUUUUUCUUGGAUUUGUUGGAAAUCGAAGGGUUUGCAGAAGAGGGUUUACGGGUAAGAGCUGAGGCUGUGCAGAAAUGGGCGAAUUUGUUCAUGGAGAAUCGGGUGGAUUUUACUGUGAUGACAUUAAAUGGGUUUGAAGAAUGAUAGAAAUGGAGAAAAGGAGGGGGUGAAUGGGAUUUGCAGGGAAGAAAAAGUGAUGGGAUUUUGGUGAGGAGGGAGAAAAGGGGUGAGGGUCUGGUGAGAGGAGGAGAAAGAGAGCCCGCACGCAACAGCAUCACCGCUGGUUGUUUGAUUUCCAAAGACAAUACGUUGUACGUCUCACAGUCUCACAGUCUCACAGUCUCACAGUCACACAGUCACUGUUUCAGUUAUACUCCCUCACUCGCCCAAAACACAAAUAAAAGAAAUUAGGAAGAAAAAAAAGAAAAUGAUUUAUGCCUUCAUGAUGAAAUUGGAUUAGGAACUUACAUGAAUUAUAAGUCUCUAAACAAAUAAUAUAAAAUACGAUAUGCCAUAAAUUUAUGUUAAAUUAUAAUUACGUAAAAUUUAAAUUGAAUUACAAUUACAAAAAUUUUAGUCUGACUAUAUAUUGCAAUAAAUUUACGUUGAAUUAUAAUUACAAAAUUUAUCAAUACAUAUAAUUAAUAGAAAUUAUAGCAGGGCUCCAGUUAUUACACAUAUUUUUAAAAAUAUUAUCAUUAUUAUUUAUUCACGUACCUGACAAUUAAAAUUCAACUUAAAACAUUCGCAAUAUAUAUAACCUUAUUUUUUACAUAAAAGAUAAAUAAAACUUAGAGGUGCAAAAAUAAAGGCCAAGUGGAGAGUAUGUUUUUUGUACCAAUACGGGCUUAUCUUGAUGGUUGGGUAUGCACAAAAAGCCCGUCGGCCUGAAGUCUAGGCUGGAUCGGUCUGAGCCUGACCUAAAAGAGCUUGGCCUGGUCAAGGCGCCGGACUUUAAGCUGCUAAAAGACCUUUAUUUUUGGCAUAAUGUCUGGCCUAGCCCAACCCAACUUAAAAAGGGUUAAUAGCCCAACUUAAAUAGCCCGUUCGGUCAAACCUGAAGCCUAGACCAGCCUGGCCUAGUGAAUGCUGGCCUGACCGACGUCACCGACCUAGCCUGGCAGCCUUGGUUAACAGCAGCCUUAACAUCAAUGGCCUAAAAGUAUUAUAACUAGAACUGACAAAUAGGCGGGCGGACCCGGACCGGGCCGGACCAAGCCGAGCGCGAACAUGUCAAAAAUAGAUUGGGCUAAAAAUGACCCGAGUUUUUGGCGGGCUGAGAAAGUGAGGCCUGUGGCCCGGGUUGGUCGGGUCGGGCCGGCCCGCGGGCUUUUUUUUUUNNNNNNNNNNNNNNNNNNNNNNNNNNNNNNNNNNNNNNNNNNNNNNNNNNNNNNNNNNNNNNNNNNNNNNNNNNNNNNNNNNNNNNNNNNNNNNNNNNNNUUUAAAAAUAAUAAAUACUGUAAUUAAUACUAAUAUAUAGAUAAUUUUAAAUUUUUAUAAUUAUAUUAUCUAACUUAAACUAAUAAUUGUUAGUUUAAUAGUUUUUUACUUUGAAAUUAUUAACUACAUAUCUCAAUCAAUUAAAAUUUUAAUAGUAUUAUAAAUUAGUAUUAUUAAUUAAUUACCUACAUUAACUACAUAUCUUAAUUAUAAUUUUCAAAUAUAGUUAAAAUUUAUUGAAGAUUGCAUUAAAAACAAAUAAUUGUUGUAGCUUAGUUGGUUUGAACUCUUAUUUAUUUACUUACAAGUCUUGUGUUCAAGCCCUACAAGUAGCAAAAUUUUACUUUUUUAAAAAAAAAAAAAACUCACGGGUCACGUGCCGGGCCGGGCCGCCCACAGGCCGGGCCAAAAACGCCCAAGUUUCCAUGGGCUAAAAAAAUUAAGCCCAAAGCCCAAUUUUUACGGGUCAGCCCGGCCCGCAGGCCUGGCCCAAUUUUACCAGGUCUAAUUAUAGCUAAAAUUUAAAAAGAAAAAAAAUAAAAAUUUCAGUGUAAGCAAAUUACCUACAUAAAAAACUCAUUACAGACAUAAUAAUUGGACAUAAAUAUUUUAUAAUUUUAUCUAUUUAUAUUUUUAUCCUAGUUUUACCUACACUAGUCACACAUAGAUCGACCCUUGCUUGAAUGUAUUUUUGAAUAUAUACUAUAAUUUAAGCGUGCACAUAAAUAUAUCCAUUACUUACAUGACAUGCAUGGGCAUUUAUUGAAAUGAGUGAGCUAGCUAUCAUAUGUACUAUUCCUUCUUUUUUUAAUAUAAGUUGUUUUAGAUUUGUGCAUAAAUAUUAAGAAAAUACUUGUAUAACAUUAAAUAUAAUAUUAAUUAUCUAUAUUACCUUUAUAUAAAAAAAAGAUAUUGUUAUUUAUUGAGUAAAAAAUAAUGAGAAAACUAAAGUUAUAUUUAUUAUUUAGAAUAAUAUUAAAUAAUUUAUAUUAAAAAAUAAAAAUAAUUUUCUAAAAUGAGUUAUAUUAAGUAACGUAAAGAGUAAUACGUAGCUAGGAACAACUAAUGUGCAAGUUUGGUUUAAUAAGUUGCAAAGGUCUCUGGUGAUAAGGCAACAAAAAAGGUACAUAAAUCGAGUAUCCCAAGUGAACUGCAUCAUCUUUCUCGUGAAUAUUGGCUGUGUCUAUGUCGUUCACCCAUCUUACUUUCUGUGGGCUGUGUCUAUGUCGUUCACCCAUCUUUUAUAUAUAUAUAUAUAUAUAUAUAUAUAUAUANNNNNNNNNNNNNNNNNNNNNNNNNNNNNNNNNNNNNNNNNNNNNNNNNNNNNNNNNNNNNNNNNNNNNNNNNNNNNNNNNNNNNNNNNNNNNNNNNNNNUUAGCCAAUGGUUCUAUCAAUUCAACGUACUCUUGGUCCGCAUGAAAGUCUACUGUAGUUUUCUGUGGCACGGGGGCCUUUCUCAAUUUCUUAUGAAUUACUAUUGUGUUAUAAUUUAAGAACGAAUAAUAUUGUAAUUACACACAUAUUAUAUAAAACACGAAAAAAUAAAAAUACGUGAUAUACCUAGUUUUACCAAUUUGAUUAAUCUUAUUUAUCUGAUGUAUUCAUUAAAUGUUUUACCCACUCUAUAAUAAUUCACGCACCAAACAAUAUUUUUAUAGUAACUAUAAAACCUUAGUCGCUAUAAAACUUAAGAUCGGGCUACUAAUAAAUCUCCAAGCCCAAUUGCACAUUUGCAACCCCCGCCAACUGACCGACUACCCUGUCGUAGUGGUCAUUCGUCGAACUUACAAAAGUAUAAGUCGAUCCUAACAUAUGAUAUUAAUUAAUUCAUAUACUUAUUUUUUCCCAAAACGAAUUUAAUUUAUUAAUGAUUAUUUUAAUAUUGAAUUUAAUUUGUUAAUGAUUAUUUUAACAUUUCACCAGUAUAACAAAUAAAUUUUCGUAGUACUGUGUUAUUUGUCGCAACCAACUAACUUUCAUUUUACAUUUUUUACCGUAUGUUUACGUAAUUAACUCUCAUUUUACAUUAUUUUUACGAUAUAUUUACGUAUUUAACAUUAUUUAUAGUAUCUUUACGUAAUUGCGUCUUCUUUUUACAUUAUUUACUGUAUGUUUACAUAAAUAAUUGUGUAUCAACGUCAACAAGCUAAGAAAUACCAUUCUACAAUAUAUAUUCUCUUUUGGACAUCAAUUAAAACGUCCACAAACACGCCUAAUAGUCCCCAGUGAACCUGUCUUGACAUCAAUGCUGCCCAUUUUCAGCAUGGAAUUAACAAAAUCCACCUCGAACGACGGUCCAAAAACCGGGCUAAGUAUGCCAAAAUACGAGUCAAUUACACUCCUCGUCGAAACAUCAUCGUAUAGCCUUGCAUCAGAUUGUAGCACUGCAAAACCAGACCUAAUGUUCUGCAAAAUUUGGUUGUCGAAUGUCUGGCCACUGCCUCGGUCUAUCGGUAACCGGACAUUCACGUCUCCAUUCUGCGGGCAGGUAGCUUUUAGCUCCGGCACCAAAUUGGGGUUUAUAGCCGGAUCAGUGCCUCCAUUAGGAAAAAAGUUGUACAGCCUUCGUGACAUGAAGAAGCAUGCUGUGGUGCCAAUUGUAUGUGCAGCUGAAAAAUUGAGUAAGUAAACUUUUAAAGUUUUUCCAAAUAUGAAAAGAACAAAUUUCAUUCAUUUAUCGUAAAAAAUUAUGAAAAGAAAUGGAAAAUAUAUAUAAUAUUCACACUUAAAUAAAAAAAUGUGAUUCUGUUAUGCCUUCUAAAUUGAAUGAUCCAAACUAUGAUUUAUAAUCGGCAUGAGUUGGUGAACCACAUUUUACAUGCUGUGCAUUAUAGAGCUAGGUAGAUUUGGCUGUAACUAAUUCUUGGUAAAAUAAAAAUUAAAAAUGCCACUUGCUUCUCAAAAUUCAAUAUAACUGAAUUCUAUCAAAUAAUUUACUACUCCCUCCGUUCCUAAAAGAUUGUCAUUUUAGGAAGUAAUUUUUGUUCCAAAAAGAUUGUCGUUUUAAGUUUAUCAAUACACAUUAGCUAUUUUUUUCCUACUUUACCCUUAUUUAAAACUUUCUUCUAUUUAAAUUUUAUUCCCUUCCCAAUGAUUCUUAUUCAAUUUAAUGCUAUAAUCCAAGUAGUAAUUGGUUGAAUAAGAAGUUAAUUGGUUGAAUUGAAUAAGAAACAUUGGGAGGAGAAUAAUUGGUUGAGACAAUUAAUAAGGGUAGUAUAGUAUUUUCGCUAGGUAUUAAUUAUAUUUCUUAAUCUGUGUAAACGACAAUCUUUUAGGAACAGAGGGAGUAUUUAAUACUAAUACCUACUAAAAAUUAUGGCCAUCUUUUGGGAAUAUAUAUCUUCUUCUUUUUCCAAAAACAGAAACUUUCUGGAAAAUGAAAAGCCAAUAUUAGAAUAUUUCUUCUUCUUCUUCUUUCUUCUUUCUUUGUUGACCCCUACAAAUAUUUAUUUAUGUCAUUAUCAUGUUGAAUUAAUGCUAUGCAAAUUAAUUAAAGCUUCUUCAUACCCCUUUAAAUGUCUACCAACUACUAGGCCACCACACCUGCAUGUACGUACAAUAUAGUGUGUGUGUGUGUGUGUGUUAUAUAGGGAUGUCUGUCUGUAUGUACCGCUAAGAAGCACAAGGUCUUUAUCGGAGAGGCCUUUGCUGAAAAACUUAGUCUUAAGUUGCUGAACUGAAUCUGUAACGUCCGGCAUAUCAUCCGCCAAAGAAAUAUUAGAAACCAUUCCAUCUCUUCUACCCGUUUGUACCUCGUAAUUCGGACCAUUCGCCUGUUCAUGGGAGUAAUUUUUACCAUAUAUCAUCAUCAAACACAACUUAAAAUAAUUCAACUUAUUAAUUACAAGAUGUGCAUUUCCACAAAUUCAAGAAUAUUACGUCAUUUUAUAUUACUAUGUAUAACAGCAGUAGUUUGGAUUGGAGUAAUGAAAAUGAGAAUGAAAUGAAAUAAAAAGAAUUGUAUUUGGUUCCGAACCUACGGAAUAACUCAUUCCAAUUAAAAUGGAAUAAAUAACUCUUCAUUUCAUUUCUUCGAUCCAAACUUUGCAUGCAUUUAUUAAAUGACAAGACUAUAUAUCAAGAAAAUUAAAGCUACGUACGUACCACGGCGAUGGCAUCUCUAGCAGCUAUGGCAACAAUAUCGGCACAAGAAACAACACCGGGGCAAACGGCUUCCAACUGAGCCUUUGCAUUCUCUAUCACUUCAAACCCUCCGACACCUUGAUGACCAAAUGCAUGCCUCUCCGAACUCGGACCAUUCUCAAUUAGUAUUGAUCCAUCACAUCCCUACUCAUCAACUCAAUUCAAAUCACCAAGCCACAAUCAAUAUAAUUAAUUAUAAUUAUACCUACCUACCUCAAUAUAUAUAUAUAUAUAUAUAUAUAAUUACACGUACGUACGUACUUCUUAAAAUUUGUGUCAAGAUAUAUACAGUUAGAUCAUUUGACACUGUUGGACAGGGGAAGAAUUGAUUAAAUUUGGGAGGUUGAGAGAUAAAUAAAUUAAUUAUAAUUACCUGAACAAAACAGUCAUGAAAGUGAAGUCUAAGCAAGACUGGAGCAAUAUUCGGGUUGGACUGAGCAGCAUCCCGAACAAAACCGCCAACAAUUGAUUCAGCAUUUGGGCAGCUAUCUGUAUAAAAACCAGCCCUGAGUUGGCCUUGUGAAAACCCAAGAAAAAAACAACUAAUUAUUAUACUAGAAACCCAAACCAGUACCAUUUGUAUGUGUAACUAACUAAUUAUAACUUAAUAUAAUAAUUAAGUUACAAUUAAUAAAUCUAAAAAAAACAAAAUAAAUAAGAAGAAGAAGAAGAAGGGGAAGAAUUAGUGUGUGUGGAAAAUGGAGUUGGAAAUUUUGGUAGGUGUGUUUGUGUGUGUAUAUAUAUAUACAUAUAUAUAUAUAUAUAUAUUUAUAUAUAUAUAGAGAGAGAGAGAGAGGUGAAGGGAGGGUGGAGGUUUUUGUUUGUAAAGUUGUAAGGUGGUGCCAGCAAUUAAGAGAGAGAUGGCAAUGUGUCAACUAAGUUGCAUGUGGUGGUUUUGUUAUCUUCCUACUUUAAUAUUUCAAAUGGUGGGAUACAGUUUUUACUGCCACAAAUAUUAAUAAAGAUAAUAAUAAUAAUAAUAUUAAUAAAAAUAUUAUGUUCAUUUAUAGCUAAUAGCUGUACUCUCAACCUCUUUUUGGCUAAAACUCUCCCUCAACUUGUUCGAUUUGUUCUUAUCAUCAUAGUUUUAUUUAUUUUUUAAAAGAUUAUAAAAAUAGAGAAAGUCGAUAUAUCUGUCAGCAAUUUUGAUAUGCAAAAUAGUUUAUUUACCUAUAUAUAUAUAUAUAUAGAAUUAUUUUUUUUGCAAAAUAAGGGUUUUGUGUUCUAUUGUGCAGUACAAGUGUUAACUAUUUUUGGCCAAUUGAGCUCCUUCAAAUCUUAUAAAAUAUUACUUAUUUUGUUAAUUUCAAAAUUAGAGAUAUUUUUUUUAAUUGUUCUAAAAUUAAAAUUACAUUUUUAUUUUUAAGCGUUAAUAUGAUAUGAAAUACUUAACAUACCUUUAUUUAUAUUUUAGGUGAAUUAAAUGUUAUUAUGUCAUAUACUUUCAUUUAAUGUUAAGGAUAUAUUGAAAUUAAUUUUUUUAUACAAAUUAUUAUUUUAAAAAUAUAUCUCUAAUUUGAAAAUAGAUGAAAGUAUUUCUUGAAAAUGAUAAUAAUAUUAUAUAAGUAAUAUAUUCAUGACAAAUAUUAAUUGCAAUAACAUGAUCACUAAUAAAAGUGACUACGUAAACAAUUUUAAUUUUUAUAUAUAUAUUUAUCUGAAGUACAAACCUCAACAAUUUUUUGGGAUAAAAAGGGGGCCACUCGCACAAAAAAUGUUGAUAUUAGGUGCAUGUUAGGUGAGUUUAUUUUUAUUUUUAUGAAAGUUUAUUUUAUUUUUUUUAUGUGAGACUUGUUUGUGAAUUUGUUUCUUUUUUCUUAGUCAAUACGCCUCGAUAUUGACAAUCAUGCAACCUUUAUGCAGCUGAUAAACGAUGUUCUUAGGCCACAGUUUACUACGACGAUGACAUCUGGUUUAUAACAAGAUAUAAGAGAAGCAUCUGAAACAUGUAGAGAUUGUUCCAGAAAGUCUGCGUGAGCGCCCCUGAUAAUUGCGUUGCCUUCGGGCUUUAUCUGCUCUUUAUAAUAAGAAUUCCGACUUGGUCCGAGAAAGCGCUGAUAUUUAUAUACUAUUAUUGAUUUUUUCUAAGUAUUAAUAUAUAAAUCUUAGAAAAAAAAUUGUAUAAUACAAAAAAGUAUAAAUCUUAUAAAAUUUAACCCCCUGUAUCCCAUUGUAAACCUCAUAAUUUUUUUUCUUGUAUUGUGCCAAAAAAAUAUAUUUUAUUCAAUAAUUGUUAAUACUUUUAUUAAAAUUUCCCAACAAUACUCUCAAAUUAGUCGUAAAACUAAGCAAAUUGAGAUAUAGUUUUUCUAUGUUAUUUUUCCCAGUUGACUUUUUUGUGCACAAGAGGGAUAAAAAAUUUAUUGAAAAAGUAGAUGACUCAAUUUAAAAAUUGUCAAAGUUUUCUUACUAAAUUAUAAUUUGCGAAAGACAUAGGAUCCCCUAGCUAAUAAUGAGUAAAGAAUAAUUUAUACACAUAUAAAUACUUAAUUAAUAAUUAACAUAAAUAGUCUAAAUAUUUAUAUGUUUAUAUUAGUUAUUAAUUAUUAGCUAAUAAAGAGGGAUAAGAAUAAUUUAUUAAUAUUUAUAUGUUUAAAUAAAUUAACAUAAAUAAUUUGGUGAUAAGUUUUCUUUAUUAGCUAAUAAUACUUAAUUAAUAAUUAAUAUAAAUAGUCUAAAUAUUUAUAUGUUUUUAACAAUAAAUUUGAUCAGCUUUAUAAUGAGUCGAAUGACCUAUUAACCAAACUCGACUCAAAUUUCAUUUUGGACUUGGAUUUUUGUCCAAACUUAGCUCGGCUCACCCCUAAAUUAAAUUCAAGUUAGUUUUUAACAAGACGAAGGCUUUAGAUUUGAUUGUCCUUGUGACAAUCCAAGUUUUUGACAAAUAUCAAAAUAAGGAUUUAAAUAAAUAAAAUGUGUGAAUUGUACUUCAUAAAUUAAUAAAUGUUGUGCAAUGUGGUAAUUUGUAGAAUAAUAAAAAGAUUUUAUUAUAUGUUUAUUGAAAACAAUUAGUGGAAAGAAGAAAGGAAAUGAGCAAAUAUAUUAUAUAUAUUUGUUUUGAUUGAAAAAUAAACUGGGGAGUAACAGUUUAUUUGGAUAUAUUUUUAUAUGUCUAUUAUUUGAAAUAAAUUGUGGGGAAAAACAAUUUAUAAUGAAAAUAAUAUAAUUUAUUGCGUAUUAAAAUAAUUUAUAGAAAAGAAAUAUGGAUUGAUUUGUUCCAUCAUAAGAAUUUAUUUUAAUUAUGAAAUUUAAUUUCAUAAUUAGUGAAGAAAAUUUUUAUACAUAUUAUAAAUAUAUAAUUAUCCAAUUUUAAUUAAUAAUUGGAUUUUAGGUGAAUAAAAUACUUAAAUUAGUUGAUAUGUGUAUGCUAGAAUUAGCUAAUAUAGAGUACACUAUCAGCCCCAAAACAAACUAUUCUCAGCCUUCUCUUCCUUGGAAGUUGGACCAUUUCGUUCUAAAAAAGAAUAGAGGAACAUCCUGCCUCUUCCAUUUCGUCCCAAAGGAAGAAAGAAAAUAGAUCAGCCCUAACCCAUUCCUUAAAUCCAUUUCGUUCCAAAAAGAAGGUUGAGAAAAGCAGGCUUCGCUCCUUUACUAUGCCAUGCCUUCCAUCCGAACCAAAGAAGAAAAAGAAAUACAAAACCAAUCUUCAUUCUCAAAUUAGUAGUAUGUCAAGGGAAUUAGAGGAAAUGAAAAUUUGCGUCUGAACUGGGGGAAAAGUUAGAGCUACUAGUGGCAAGAAGAAGUGGUAUUCACUCAUCAUCAAGCUUAAGAUCGUAUCAAUCAAGAGGUAACAUUUUAUCUCUGUUAUAUGAUUUGUGCUUAUCAAGUUAGUUAAUAGUAAAGAAAGUUAGUAACUUGAAUGGGUUAAAUUGGUUUUAGUUAUGUAGUCAAGGGCGGAGCCAGGAAUUAAUUUUCUACUGGGCUACCAAGUACCAAUUAUAUCUACAAAAAAUUGUCCCACCAUCAAUCACAAAUUCAAAAUCAUACAUAAUAGUAAGGUUCAAAGUAGUAAGGUUCAAAGGUAAAUAACAUGCAAGAAAAAAGGAAAACAAAACACACUAUUUAAGCUGCAUCCUUCUAUGCUUUGUAGAAUAGAAUUCGUCUAUUAUGGAAUCUGAAUCGAUAUCUUCAAGAAGCUCUCGUUCAAUGUAAAUCAUCAUAGAAUCUGCUAAAAACUCCUCUUCCAUUUUAUUGCGAAGAGCAGUUUUAACAUGUUUCAUUGCUGAAAAUGCUCGUUCUGUCGUGGCUGUGGAAACAGGUAGAGUCAAAACAAGACGAAUCAAUCUAUCAAUCAAAUUAUAAGUCUGCAACUUAUUUGUUUCAACUAAUCCGCGACACAUUUUGAAAGCUCUGAUGACGGAGCACAUCAAUUUUAUAAUGAUUUAGUUGACAUCUUAAAUAAUGCAUUUCUUGCUCACUGAAAUCUUCUGGAUAAAAUUUCUCAGCAAGCUUGCAAAUAUCAUCAACUUUGAAUGAUUUAACCUUCGAUUCUAAAACUGAGCUAAGUAUAAGGAGUUCCACUGCUUCAUCACUAAAUCUGGAAUUCAACUCUUCCUGUUGAAAAUCUAUUGCUGAAUUAAACACAUCAAAAUGAUAGUGUUGGCAAACUGUCAUCGAUUCUUUUUGUUGGCAUGAACGACCGGUAGCCUUUUUGAAUGAAGCAUUCAUAUCUGGUAUGUCAAUGUCAUUUUGUGUGCAAACUGAUUGCACAUGCUCAAGGAGAUGAUCAAAUCCCUCUUCUCUCAAAGUGUGAAGUAGUGCUUUAGUAGUUGAGACUAGAUCCAUGGCAUUUACAAUGUCAAGAGAUUUGUGCUGCAAAGCUCUACAAAGCAAAUCAGUAAUCCCCAUAAUUUUAUGCAUCAUAUAUAGAGUGAAAAUAAAAUCAAAAGACCUCAUUAUAAUCAAACAACCACCAGCUUCUCCACGCAUAGAGUUAGAGGAUCCUUCUUCAACAAUACUUUCAAGCACUGAAAUAGUUGCACCAUACAUAUCAAUUAAGCUGCAAAUAGAAUCAAAAUGAGAGCUCCACCGAGUAGCUCCACUCCGAUGUAGAUUACCAAUCUGAUUAAGGCCUCUACCAGUAUCACGUUCACCAGAAGCUACCAUACGUGCAAUUUCAAUAGCUUGAGCAGAAUAUAACUCAGUAUGCCGUUUGGGAGAAGCACCAAUGAGAUUGAUAAUGGUUGUUAGUUUCGAAAAAAAUUGCCAAACAGAAAUCUCUUUUGAAGAAGCUGCAACUAAUGCUAAUUGUAGUCUGUGAGCAAAGCAAUGUACAUAGUAUGCGUAUGGAUAAUCUUUAAGAAAUAGAACUUGAAGUCCGUUCCAAGUAUCGCGCAUAUUACUAGCACCAUCAUACCCUUGACCUCGCAUAUUAAGGAUAUGCAAAUUAGCUCGAGCAAGGACAUUAGAUAUUUCUUUCUUCAAUGUUGAAGCAGUAGUUUCUAAAACAUGCACAAUCUCAAAAUAACGCUCUCAUAAGAAACCAUGGUUGUCAACAAAUUUCAAAACAAUAGCCAUCUGCUCUUUAUUUGAUGCAUCUUUGGCUUCAUCAACCAAAAUACAAAACUUUGCAUCUCCACUUCUUCACGAAUUUUUCUUCUUACUUUGUUUGCAAAAAUAUGCAAAAUUUCUUUCUGAAUAGUCGGUGAAGUAUAUUUAGCAUUUUUUGGAGCUUUCUCUAAGACUACAUCACCAAUGUUAACGUUCAAUCGGCCCAUAAGUCUUAUCAUCUCUAUAAAAUUACCACAAUUUUUAGAAGUUGGAGAUUCAUCAUGACCUCUAAAUGCACAAGCUUGCAAGCUAAGCCACUUUAUACUCUCAAUUGUUGCUGUAAGUCGCAACCGAUUCUUCUGAACUUCUUCUAGAGUGUGUGCAUUCAAGACUGUGUCAAUAUGUCCAGUUACUUUCAUCAAAUCUUCAACAUAUUUCACUGCAUUCCUAUGUGGUGAAGUAGGACCUCCCACAUGCAUCAAAAGUGCACAUCUAACUCCAUCAUUAACCCUCUUCCACCUAUUAAACCCUUCAAUAAUGAAUGUAGGAUGAAGAGGUACCUUAUUUUGAAAAACAAAGCAUGGAAAACAAAAUGCUGCAUCCUUUGAUGGAGAGUACUCUAACCAAGGAGAAAGGAUUCAAACCACGAAUAUUGAAAUUUUCGAUUUUGUGAGCCUGAUUUAGUCCUUGGGUACUCUACUAACUUAGGUUGAUACGGACCCAUUUUGAUAUAAGUUCUCCUAAUUUCAUCUCGUUGAUUAACAGGAUGUUGCCAUAUAGGGAUCCGAAUCCCAGGAUCCCGUUCAAGAGUACUAAGAUCAAUUUCAACUCUUCGAGAUUUGGAAAGGGGUGGUUGGUGAUUUGAGAUAUCAACAUUAGAUGGAGAAUGCCCUUCACUAGUUGUCGUUGAUGCACUUUCUCUUGGUUUAAAGAAAGAAAAUAAAGUUUUUUCUCUCUUGCUUCCUUGACUUUCCAUUGUGGCUUAUAAGAUAUUGGUCUGAAUUGCACUUGUGUCGUGGUCCAAUCUCUCUAACAUUUUGAAUCAUAAUAUCAAAAAUAAAAUAUCAAAACAUCCAGCACAAAUAUAUAAUUUAAUCACAAAAUCUUAGGCUCUAUAUAUUUCAAGAAAAACAAAUUUCAGAAAAAGUUUUCCACAUUCCCCUACGUUUGGUAUGACAAUGUAAUACUACCCCUAGUUCAUUAAAAAUCAAUUGCACAUUUAAGCUCAAUUUUCCUGCAAAUUAAUCCAGAACACAACAGAAGUAUUUUCCCUGAAAUUGUUUUCCUUAAAAAAAAAAGAUAGGCUCAUUAUCAAUUGAACAUGCACGCACUAGGGCUAACUCACCCAUAUUAGGUAGAUUAGAUGAGAUACCUCUGAGGGCUGAAAUCGCUUUCCAUUCAAAUUACAAUAGAAUCCAUCGGAACUUAAUUGAUUCGUAAGCUUAAUUAGCACACUGCAAAUAAUAUAUACAUUAAUACAUACUGUGAUACUGACAUACAUAUAUAUAGAUUGUUUUAAAAUUGGAAAAGAAUAAGAGCUUAUUAUCGAAGUAUAAAGUAUUUAACCUGAGAAAGAUGAGUUCGGUGAAGACGUUAAGUGAUCGAGCUGGGAGCCGCAGAAGAGGAGAAAGUUAUCGGGGGACACGUAAUUAGGGACGGCGACCACGAGGACUCGAGGAGGGUGAUGCGGGCCGCAGGGUUUGAUAGGGCGACAAUGGUAGCGGAGGAUGAUGUUGGGAGGGUUUGAUAGGGCUUUUGUUUGUUGGCUAAAAUAUUGGGCUGGGCCAUGAUAUAUGAGUAAAAAAAAAUAUUAAAUUGACCCAGGCUAAGAUAUAUACGAUCUUAAGCUUCACUCAUCAUCAAGCUUAAGAUCGUAUCAAUCAAGAGGUAACAUUUUAUCUCUGUUAUUUGAUUUGUGCUUAUCAAGUUAGUUAAUAAUAAAGAAAGUUAGUAACUUGAAUGGGUUAAAUUGGUUUUAGUUAUGUAGUUGAUCUCUAUUGACUGAAUUGGUAUAUGAAAGCAUGGGUAAUUGAGUUAUGUAUGGAAAUUGUAUUAUUGCAUAUUGAAAAUAUGUAGAAUCAAUGAAGAAUGAAACUUUGAAAAGUUUGAAAGUUAGUAAACUAACUAAUUUAUAAACUAAUUUUAUAUGUACAUGAUUUGGUUGUGCAGUUAAUAGGUAUGGAUUGAAAUUAGAGCUAAGGAGUAUAGGAUUGGUUGUGCGGAGUUAUAAGGUGGGAAAAACUGGGCUAGAACACAAACCAAACUCUAUGAAAAUUGAAUUUUAAAGCGACGCACACUAUGUGUUCGCUAAAAGUCCUCUAAGGACUGUUUUUGUUAAAAAAUGAAAACUAAGCUAAGCCAAGACCCGAGUUAUAUACACACAUUAUAUAUAACUAAUUAGAGUGUUUGGGUGAAUCGAAUCAAGAGAGGAAAUAUUUUUGAGACAAAACGAAAAGUUGAAAACUAGUAUGACCGCUGACCUUGAGGCCAAUUUCGGGUCUAGUAUAUGUUUCCAGAAACUUUUGUGCUUUUGGGGAUGUGUAGUACACUGAAUAAGCUUUCCAUAGACUCCGGAACGGACUAAUUCCGACUUCGGAGCAAGGAGUUAUGACAGUUCAAAGUAGUCGCGUCGAAUCUGCCAAAAAUCUGGAAAACAGAUUCAAAGCAGCCCCUUAGACGAAUUUUCUGGAAUUCUGUGUUUAGAAUUUGAAAAUGAUCAAAGAAUAAAAGUUGUAGUCCAGGAAGUUAGCUUCGCGUGGGCUCAAGAAUCGCUCAAAAAUGUUUUGAAACAAAGAAGUUAUAACUGUUUUAGUGCAACAGGGUCAGGUGGAAAAAAAUUUGAAAACUGUUACGAGUGGACAUUUUUGGGGCCUGUUUUAAGCUGCUUAUGAGGUCCGAAAUGGGUGGUUUGUAUUUUUUAAAAAUAGUCCUAUAUGUCAUGUCUAUCAUAUGUAAAAAUGGACGUCAUCCGAGUUAGGAGCUAGAAAUUAAAAUUGCUCAAAGUAGUUAUGGCGAGGAGAGAACUGCUGCGCUGUAGCAGUAGCAGGCAGCAGCAGAACGCUGCUGGGCAGCGCUUGGGGAGGGGGCUCUUUUGAGCUCUCAGUCGACAAGGUUAAAUUGCUCUAAUUGCUUAACUAGUAUCUUUUUAUCAUAGGUGAGUGUAACACCUAUAUUAUCUUCAAAAUUCAACAUAAAUGGAUCAUGAAUGUGAAAAAUAAAAUUUAUCAAAACUCGAAACAAGGGGAGGAGCUGCUGCCCAGCGCAGCAACGAGUAACAACAGCAAAAGUGGGAAGCAGCUGGUUGGGCCAGUUGUGGCUUCGUGGUUUAGUUCGAUAAUGUACCCAUAAAGUUUAGUUUCUAAAUUCUUAAAGAAACAAGUACAUGAGUUAUAAAGUAAUUACAAUUCAAUAUGAUUAAAGUGGUACUUUAAAAAGGUAAAAGUUAUUAGAGAUGGGCGUCUAAGCCAAAUGGCUGUAAAUGCUUGAAGGGACUGUUUUGGGCAUUCCAAAGAAACGCGAUGGUUUGUGUCCGGAAAUGAAACUAUAAAUUAUUACGAUAGCUAUAAACUACCCAUACAAGUUAUCAUUACACUCAAAGUACAACAUGAGCUACGAAUUCACCUUGAAUAACUAAGUUGUGUAUAAAAUGUACGGAAUACCCAUGUAUUAAAUUACAAGAGGGUUAUAAACUAAAAUUGUGAGAUAUUCAUAAACUAAAAUCUCGACAAAGUAUAUUAAAGCAAUAAAUGACUAUCAUGAGUAAAAGAAUAAAAGUUUUUAAACAGAAUAUAAGUGUUUUUCAAAAACAAGAAUGAAAGCCAAUGAUGUGGCCAAUAUGGAUAUGUAAUAUAUAAUUAUGCAGGUUAUAUGACAUGGACACAUAACUAAUUUGUUUAUAUAUGUGAAUAUAAUUGUGUAGGAGUUGUGAAAGAAAAUUAAGCAUAUCCCGAUGCACCGAGACAAAUAUAAAACACGGUCUAACAACCAUAUGACACUUAUAUUCAUUCGGAGCAUACUAGAAGCUAUAAAAGCGAUAUGUAAACAUAAGUUUACAUAUAUAUGGAUAAUAAAUCUGUAUAUUGGGAAUACGUGUACAGUGUGAAGAGCUAUUUCAAAAUUAUACUUUGAAACUGAACGAUUUUUUAAUUACAAAGAAAGAUAUACGUAAACGGGGUUGAAAACUCAUUGUUAACAUAUAUAAGCUAUGUAUAUACAUAAAAUAUACAAAUAGCUUAUAUUUACUUACGGGCUAAGCGAGAAAGGCAUGAAUUUGCAUUACGGUUAAGAUAUAUAUGCAAAAAUAUAUAUAUGCUUAACGUGUGAUUUCGUUUUUGUGCAGAAUUUUGCGCACUUUGGUGAUUGAGGCGCGUGACGAAUCUUGGCGUUAACACUACUACCUAAAAAACAUCGCCUAGUCAGAAGGUAGCUACUAAAAAAUACAAAUGGGUUCAAACUCAGACAUGAGUCUUAAGAACUAUAGUUGAAAUAAAGAAAAAUUGGAGCCUUUAUUUCUUUCUAUUAAAAUCUAGAUGAAUUGAAGUUUUUUACAAAAUGCAUGAAUAUAUCUACAACUUUUGAUCCCUAAAAUGGAAUAAAUCCGCAAGUAGAGAGUAUAAAUAGUUAGGUCAAAAACUCAUUUAGCUAACAUGGAGAUUGUAUACUAGUAAGAAAAAGAAGACAUAAUAGAAAAAACAAAGAUGAGUGAGGGCAUAAUUUCUAGAAUCAGUUGACAAAGUACAAAACCAUCAUUCAGAAUUUCAAUCGGAGAGAAUUCAUAUGUGCAUCUAGUUAAUCAAAUGAAUAAAUCUUAUCAGAAUAUAAAGAGAUAGGGGAACCUGAUAUUUGGAACUGCCGAAAAGGGGAUUGGAGAUCCUGUUUUGUGGGACAGCCGGUGAAGGAAAGGAAGCGAGAGCCGUACCGGCGCCGGAUUUCGGAAUAUUACAGGGAAAGAAGAAGACUGAGAAAGGCUCUACCUAAACUUGAAGCAGUAAUUUUUUUUUCCUUCGGGACAUAGCAUCUUUUGAUUUUAUUUUUUAUUUAUGAAAACUAAUAAAAUUAAAUAAAACACUCAUAUAAUCCCAUUGUUAGGGGUGGGCAAAAAAAUCGGUUUAUUCGAUUUUUCGGCGAACCGGACCGGUUCGAACCGGCCGGUUCGGGAUAAAUGUGCACCGGUUCGGUAACGGUAUAAAAAACCGGUAUAUACCGGAUAAUCGGGACCGGGUUCGGGAGGUUACUUUGUAAGUUCGGUACGUACCAAACCGCACCGGAUUGAACCGGUUAAUUGAACAAAGAGGCUGGACCGGUUAAUUGAAUAAAGGCAAAGCCUUUUAUUUCUUAAUUACCAAAUUAACUCAGAGAUCAGAGUUCUUCUCUCACCUCGUCUCCACACCACACCUACUCUCUCUCCACUCUCCAAGACUCCAAGUCUCAAUCUCAAGUCUCCGUCGCUAGUGGAUUGAAAAAAAUAGUGCAAUGGCUCUCCAUCUUCUUCUCCUCCUUCAUUAAUGUCUUCAUUAGUGUAACAGAUCUAUGUAUUUGUGAAUUUUUUUUUCAUGGGUUUGUGCAAAACGAUUUGGGUUUGUGAUUUGGGGAUCCUGAAUUUGUUCAAAUUUUUUGGUUAUGGUUUAAACUUUCUGAUGAAAAUUUUGAAAAAUAUUAUGGGUCUGAGGACUGAGGUCUCUGUUUCUAUCAAUUCAUAUUGUUCUUGUAGGUGCUUGAAUCUAGGGUUUGUUUGAAGAGGAAAGUUGUGUAAGGAAGUCAUGGACUUGUAAUUUGUUUGUGGUAAUUUGUUUAUGAAAAGACUAAUUUCUUGAUUUUAAUUUUCGAUGCUUUGAUUUCUUGUUUGUGGUAAUUUUUGUUGGAUCUUUGAUAGUUUAUGUUGAGGGUAAAACCGUAGAAGCUAUUGGCUUCUUUCUAUCAUUACAUUUUGCAGAAAUUAGAUGAAUGGACAUCUUUUUUAACAGGUUACCAUCUAAAAGGUUGAUUAUAAUUUUGUUUGUUGUAGUAUUUAAAACCAUUGGUUAUUGUAUGUUUGGUUUAUUGGAUUGAUUUGGAAAUCUUUUUGAUUGAAUUGAAUGGGUUAAUUGAAAUAUGUGAUUACUUGCUUAGUUGAUAGCAGUCAAGUGUUGCUUCUUAGUUGAUUGCAUACAACCGGUACAAAAUAGGUACAAACCGAUUCCGGACCGGUUCCGAACCGGUUAAUCGGUUCGGGAUACCGGUUUCACCAGUACCGGUAUCGGUACGUAAACUUGGUUUCUUUCGGUAUUCGGUACAGUUCGGUACGAGUCGGUCCGGUCCGGUCCUGUAAUUUACCGAUGCCCACCCCUACCCAUUGUCCCUAAUUGAGAGUUCUACUUGAUUUACGUUAAGACAAAUAAUUAUAAUUAAAUGAAUUUUAUCUAAAUCUUAUUAUGUAUUAAAAAGUGAAAAUGUCAAAUGAAAAUUUUAUUUUGGGUAGAAUGAGUAGUUGAAAGGAGUUAAAAAUAUAGAUAUAAGUUUGAUGGAAAAAAAGAUGACAUUUUAAUUCACUUAUACUGUAAUUUCAUUUAAGCAGGGUCAUUAGCGAAUUUGGAUUUCUGACAGUUAUAAAUGAACAGUGUAUUUUGACAGUUUAUAAAAAUAAGUUACAUUUUUAUAUUCUAGAGAAUUAAAUUUAAUUUGAGGGACUCAAAUUUCAUUUUGGACUUGAAUUUUUGUCCAAACUUAGCUCGGCUCACCCUCAAAUUACCAGUGCUACCAGUGCUUCUUGAAAAGUCUGGUUCCCCUAAUUCCACAUUCCCCAUCCCCAACUCUGCAGUGCUCUUUUCCUACUUUCUCAACCUAUUUGUUUCAUCAUUCAAUUUGUUUUAUUGGUUGAUUUUUAAGUUGAGUUUCUUCACUAAAUUGAAACUUGUCUAUGGUCUUGGAAUUCUUCAACUUUGGUUAUCUUGGUCCUCUUAAAAAUCUUUUUUACUGGUUGCAUGUUUUCCCUCUGUUGAAACCUUUUAAUAUUGUUGGCAAUUUGGCAUAAUCAAAGUUUGGAUCGCAGAGAUGGCCAAUAGAUAUACAGAUUCUAGAAGGGUUGCACUAUAUUCAAGGAAUUAUGCAUGAAGCAUCUUUUUUGGUUCGUCAGUUUUAGGGCUUUUUGUUGGGGGGAUAUUAAGUCCAUUAUUGUAGUUUAAAUUUCAAUGUUUAUUUUUCUCGAUAAGCUUCGUACUUCAUAUUUUAGCUUCAUAUAAUAAGCUUAUCAAAGCAUCUUUCCUUUUUAACAAAAUUGUAUGCUUGCAGGAGAACCAUACCUGGGUUGGAUGAGUGGGGCUUCUUCAUCUGGCGGGUUACGGUCAGCUUUCUCCUAUUGCGUACAGCAAGUACGAAAUUAUGACUACCACCACUACCUCUGUCUUCUUGAACUUCCCCCUGACAUGCGGAGAGCUGCAUUUGCUCUCCGUGCUUUCAAUGUUGAAACAGCUAGAGCUAUGGAUGUUGCUUCUGAUCCAAAAAUUGGGCUUAUGCGUCUACUAUGGUGGCAAGACGCUAUAGACAAGAUCUUUGCAAACAAGUUAAUUGAGCACCCAACUGCUCGGGCCCUUGCAUCUGUAAUAUCAGAGCAUAAAGUCAGCAAGAGCUGGCUAAAGCGGUCUGUUGAAGCUCGGAUCAAUGAUGCCCAAAGAGAGGUGAGUGACAUCCCACAGAUUGUUAAUGACUUGGAGAAAUAUGCUGAGGAUACUGUAUCAACUAUAUUGUACACAACCCUUCAAGCAGGCGGUAUCAGGUCCACAACAGCAGAUCAUGCAGCAUCACAUAUAGGCAAGGCAAGUGGUGUUCUGUUGCUGCUAAAGUCUCUGCCGUACCAUGCGAGUCGUAACCGCCACUUUUCAUAUAUACCAGCUGAGGUAGCGGGAAAACAUGGGUUGUUGGUUAAGCAAGGUGGUCAAUCAGAAAUCCACAUGGAUUCCCGUGAGGGCCUGUGUGAUGCAGUUUUUGAGAUAGCAACUGUAGCUAAUGCACAUCUGCAGAAGGCUCGUGAAUUGGCUGGAACAGUGCCGGCAGAGGCUCGUCCAGUGCUUCUGCCGGCUGUGCCUGCCCAGGUUCUUUUGGAUUCUUUGAGACGCGUGCACUUUGAUGUCUUUGAUCCGAGACUGUCCCAUGGGAUUUUGGGUAGUCCUCCGUUAUUGUUCCAGUUGAAGCUGAAGUGGCAUUCAUGGAGGGGUAAGUACUAGAGUUUCAUUCAUUUUGCAUUCCCGGCGGACUAAAAAUAAAAUCACCCAAUGGAGAGUGAAAUUAUAAAUUGUACUAUUGUGUUUUUCAGUGAAGACUUCAUAGCAAUUUUUUCAAAGGCAUGGGUGUGAGUUUUAUCAACUGCAGAAAUGAAGUGCAAAUGCAUUCAUUGUGUUCCUCUUAACACCGGUGUAAUUUGAGGAUUUAGCAUUAGACAUAAGAAGUUUUCCCCCCAAAAUUCUAGCAUUAGACAAGUGCUGUAACUACACAUUAUAAUUUAUGGCGAGGAUAUUAUUUUUUUACCGCAUGCUUUCCGUUGAUUCAUUAGAUUGCAUUAGUUAAAUGAACCACAGGUUACCACCAUACCUCACAUAAAUAUAUGCCACAGAAAAAAGCAUUAAUGUAUAAAGGGAAUGGUUUAUUCAGUUAAAUUAAUGAAAUGAAAUAACACCAAUUCCAGACAGAGAAAAGGAGAUUAAAUAUAAUUAAGCUAAAAGCACUAUUAGUAACUCUACAUGACAUUCCUUUAGAAGUGGACUAAAACUUUAGGAACAUUGAAAAAUGAUAUUUCAGAUCAGCCUUUCUUUCGAUCACUAUUAAUGUAAAAAUACAACAUAAUUAAUUAAUAGCAAGGAUGGUGCCCCAGACACCGUGAUUCCCGUCUACCGGAUCUGUUGCAGAAAAGAGAUAAUGUGCACAAAUUAAUUCGGGGUUCUUAUGAUAUAUUACAAAAACAAAACUAUUUAUUUUUGAACAACAACGGACAAUUAUUCAAAUCAUAAAGUAACUCGAACACUUAAGAAAUCGGUUGGAGAGACAUAUUCACAUCACUAGAUUCGACAACGCAAUCAAACCAUUGAAUUAUAAGAUUAUUGAACAAAAUUUCAUUUUUUGAUUUAUUAUAUUUAUUCCAUGACCGGGAACGGGUAUUGUAAGACCCCAAAUUAUUAAUAAAUAAAAUUUAUUUUCCUCUAUUUAUUAUUUUAAAAUAGUAAGGGUUGAUUUGAUUAAUGUGGAUAGUUAUGGGUAAAAUACGCAAAUAUUUCGAAUAAGCAAGUGGUUAUAAAAUAUUCAUUAUUGUCGGGGAAUAUUCGUUUGGUCGUNNNNNNNNNNNNNNNNNNNNNNNNNNNNNNNNNNNNNNNNNNNNNNNNNNNNNNNNNNNNNNNNNNNNNNNNNNNNNNNNNNNNNNNNNNNNNNNNNNNNNNNNNNNNNNNNNNNNNNNNNNNNNNNNNNNNNNNNNNNNNNNNNNNNNNNNNNNNNNNNNNNNNNNNNNNNNNNNNNNNNNNNNNNNNNNNNNNNNNNNNNNNNNNNNNNNNNNNNNNNNNNNNNNNNNNNNNNNNNNNNNNNNNNNNNNNNNNNNNNNNNNNNNNNNNNNNNNNNNNNNNNNNNNNNNNNNNNNNNNNNNNNNNNNNNNNNNNNNNNNNNNNNNNNNNNNNNNNNNNNNNNNNNNNNNNNNNNNNNNNNNNNNNNNNNNNNNNNNNNNNNNNNNNNNNNNNNNNNNNNNNNNNNNNNNNNNNNNNNNNNNNNNNNNNNNNNNNNNNNNNNNNNNNNNNNNNNNNNNNNNNNNNNNNNNNNNNNNNNNNNNNNNNNNNNNNNNNNNNNNNNNNNNNNNNNNNNNNNNNNNNNNNNNNNNNNNNNNNNNNNNNNNNNNNNNNNNNNNNNNNNNNNNNNNNNNNNNNNNNNNNNNNNNNNNNNNNNNNNNNNNNNNNNNNNNNNNNNNNNNNNNNNNNNNNNNNNNNNNNNNNNNNNNNNNNNNNNNNNNNNNNNNNNNNNNNNNNNNNNNNNNNNNNNNNNNNNNNNNNNNNNNNNNNNNNNNNNNNNNNNNNNNNNNNNNNNNNNNNNNNNNNNNNNNNNNNNNNNNNNNNNNNNNNNNNNNNNNNNNNNNNNNNNNNNNNNNNNNNNNNNNNNNNNNNNNNNNNNNNNNNNNNNNNNNNNNNNNNNNNNNNNNNNNNNNNNNNNNNNNNNNNNNNNNNNNNNNNNNNNNNNNNNNNNNNNNNNNNNNNNNNNNNNNNNNNNNNNNNNNNNNNNNNNNNNNNNNNNNNNNNNNNNNNNNNNNNNNNNNNNNNNNNNNNNNNNNNNNNNNNNNNNNNNNNNNNNNNNNNNNNNNNNNNNNNNNNNNNNNNNNNNNNNNNNNNNNNNNNNNNNNNNNNNNNNNNNNNNNNNNNNNNNNNNNNNNNNNNNNNNNNNNNNNNNNNNNNNNNNNNNNNNNNNNNNNNNNNNNNNNNNNNNNNNNNNNNNNNNNNNNNNNNNNNNNNNNNNNNNNNNNNNNNNNNNNNNNNNNNNNNNNNNNNNNNNNNNNNNNNNNNNNNNNNNNNNNNNNNNNNNNNNNNNNNNNNNNNNNNNNNNNNNNNNNNNNNNNNNNNNNNNNNNNNNNNNNNNNNNNNNNNNNNNNNNNNNNNNNNNNNNNNNNNNNNNNNNNNNNNNNNNNNNNNNNNNNNNNNNNNNNNNNNNNNNNNNNNNNNNNNNNNNNNNNNNNNNNNNNNNNNNNNNNNNNNNNNNNNNNNNNNNNNNNNNNNNNNNNNNNNNNNNNNNNNNNNNNNNNNNNNNNNNNNNNNNNNNNNNNNNNNNNNNNNNNNNNNNNNNNNNNNNNNNNNNNNNNNNNNNNNNNNNNNNNNNNNNNNNNNNNNNNNNNNNNNNNNNNNNNNNNNNNNNNNNNNNNNNNNNNNNNNNNNNNNNNNNNNNNNNNNNNNNNNNNNNNNNNNNNNNNNNNNNNNNNNNNNNNNNNNNNNNNNNNNNNNNNNNNNNNNNNNNNNNNNNNNNNNNNNNNNNNNNNNNNNNNNNNNNNNNNNNNNNAUGUUUUAAACAUUUAUUGCAACAAAAAUACUCUUCCUCCUCACAUAUACUCAUAUAUCCCACAUUUAUCAUAAAAAUAUUAUUAUUAUUAUAUUAUUAAAAUAUAAUAAUAUAUUUAAAUGAAUUAUUUUAUCAGAAAAAGAUAAAAUUUUAAUUUUCAACAAUUGUCACAUUAAAAAUUUUCUCCAUCUAUAUCCACAUAAAAUCAAUAUUUUCCUCAUCAUAUGAAUCAAUAAUUAAUAUUUCAUAAAUAAUAUUACAGAAUCACAAUAUUGACAACCAGACAGUUCCUAGGAAAGAGGGGGCUUUCCAAUAAGAAUUUCUCCUUACUGGCGCGCAAUUAGGUGACCAAACCUCUCCUUAGACAGAACUUUCUAGACAUUGCCAAUAAUGUUAUUCAGAUAAUAUUAUUCAGAUAAUAUUAUUCAGAUAAUAUGAAUUAUUGCUUCGAUAAUGAAAAAUACUGUGUAAUGAUAAUUAUUGAAACAACAAUAUAAAAUAUCAACGCAGCAAUUACUAAAUCAAUAAAAUACUGAACAGUAAUUACUGUAACCAUUAUUGAGUAGUGCCUUCUUACGUAAGAAUCAAUAAUUGGUGCAAUACCGUGUGCUACUGUGUUUUAUCCACCGGGUAUUCCAACAGUAUUAACGGUAACAACUACGACGUUAUUUAUAAAUAACUUAUUCUUGUCGUUUUCUUCCUCCAAUCGCUUUCCGUUAUGGGACCCACACAUGGCUGCGCCGUCGUACGAAUAUUCCCCGACAGUACGAAUAUUCCACGACCAAACGAAUAUUCUCCGACAAUAAUGAAUAUUUCAUAGCCACUUGCUUAUUUUGAAAUAUUUGCGCAUUUUACCCAUAACUAACCAUAUUAAUCAAAUUAACCAUUACUAUAUUAAAAUAAUAAAUAGAAGAAAUUUUAAUUUCAUUAAUAAAAAUUUGGGGUCUUACACUUUGAGUAUUGCUAUACGGUGCAAGUUCAAGUCAUAGCCUAUAUCCGGUGUUUCAACUAGAAGUACUGUCUUUCGAGGUAAGGGAUGUUAUUUUAUUCGAAAAUGNNNNNNNNNNNNNNNNNNNNNNNNNNNNNNNNNNNNNNNNNNNNNNNNNNNNNNNNNNNNNNNNNNNNNNNNNNNNNNNNNNNNNNNNNNNNNNNNNNNNNNNNNNNNNNNNNNNNNNNNNNNNNNNNNNNNNNNNNNNNNNNNNNNNNNNNNNNNNNNNNNNNNNNNNNNNNNNNNNNNNNNNNNNNNNNNNNNNNNNNNNNNNNNNNNNNNNNNNNNNNNNNNNNNNNNNNNNNNNNNNNNNNNNNNNNNNNNNNNNNNNNNNNNNNNNNNNNNNNNNNNNNNNNNNNNNNNNNNNNNNNNNNNNNNNNNNNNNNNNNNNNNNNNNNNNNNNNNNNNNNNNNNNNNNNNNNNNNNNNNNNNNNNNNNNNNNNNNNNNNNNNNNNNNNNNNNNNNNNNNNNNNNNNNNNNNNNNNNNNNNNNNNNNNNNNNNNNNNNNNNNNNNNNNNNNNNNNNNNNNNNNNNNNNNNNNNNNNNNNNNNNNNNNNNNNNNNNNNNNNNNNNNNNNNNNNNNNNNNNNNNNNNNNNNNNNNNNNNNNNNNNNNNNNNNNNNNNNNNNNNNNNNNNNNNNNNNNNNNNNNNNNNNNNNNNNNNNNNNNNNNNNNNNNNNNNNNNNNNNNNNNNNNNNNNNNNNNNNNNNNNNNNNNNNNNNNNNNNNNNNNNNNNNNNNNNNNNNNNNNNNNNNNNNNNUGGGCUAGUUGAGCUCACCCUUUUCCUUUUUGUUCCAUUUUUCUUCUCAGGAGGCGAGAAUGUAGCGAGUACUAGUCGGGGUAUGGAAUGAAGGUUCUAGAGAGAGUUGUUUAGUAGUCCUCACCAUUUUUAUAAAAUAAUGUAUCAAUAUUAUGAUGGGGAUUUAUUUGCGUGUGAAUAUUGUCUAGAUGACAAUAUCUGUAUUUAAACUCACAAUUUAUAUGUUGUAAUAAUAAAGUUAUAGUUAUUUCUGUACCAUGUAUUUGGCGACUCAGAAUAAAUUGAAUAAAAUGAACCUAUUUUGGGGGCGUCACAUGUAUGAUACACGAUAAUCGCCUAUUUCUCAUUUUUGCUCAAGAGCCAAAACGAUCACACCUGGUACCCAAGAGAACAAACGAAACCGCACUAAAAAUUAUUUUCUCAUAUAGAAAUAUUAGUUAUCAAAAUUUAUAGUGUCCUAAUUAUUUUUAAUUAUUCUCGGUUAGGAAAUGAGAGUUGCAUUGAGAAUUAGAACUUUUUAAACUAAUGUUCACCUAAUUAACAGUUAAACAUAUUUAUUUUACCAACAAAUUAAAAUUGAAAUGCGUCAUAAACAAUCCAAUAGUUACAAAUUUAAAUGUUUUUAUUUGCAUUACUUUUUUUUUUUUGGCUCAAAGUUGUCUCUUUUAUCAAUAACAAAUACAAGUUUUUUAUUUUGGUUUUUUUUAUUUUUUAUUUUUUUUAUGUUUACUCUUUAGGUAUAUAUAGGCCAUUGGAUUUAGUCAACGAGUGGGACCCACUAAAUGAGUGACAUGAUUGAAAAAGAGCGUCCCUAGAUGCGGAUUGACUUCGACUCUAUCAUACAACUGGCACCACCCAAUUAUUCUCCUACAAAUUAUUACUCCUAUUAUAUAAAUAGAUUUCCUAAAGUAGAUUCCUUAUUAACCUAUUCCUUGAUAUAUAUAGUAAUUAUUUAAUACUAGGGUUCCAUUCUUCAAAACGAAGGCGACGCCCAUUCUCCAAAAGCUUCAAUCUUUCUCAUCUAUUUUGCUUGCUUCUACUCUGCUGGUACUCGUAAUUUUACAAUUUCAUUACUUAUUUACUUUAAUUCAAUUCUUUUCUGUCUCUGUGCUUAUUGACUGUAGUUUUAAUUUAUCUUUUCUGUAUGUGAAUUCAGCUUUACUUAAUUAUGAAAUGGGGUUAUUAGAUCUGUAUCUGUUAAACAGUUUGGUGGUUAGCUGAUUUAUGAUAUGUGAUUAAUUUCUUAAGUAAAAGGAAGAGUCUUGCUAAGAUGUAGGCAUAAACUUCAGAUCUUAGUAUUGAUUAAUUGUCUGUUCUUUUUUUGAUGUUUAUGAUUAUGCUAAAUUGCUAAUGUUGCUUAAUUAGUUGAAUUUUUGGAAUUGUUCUGUUUGGAUGACUGAAGAGAUCCAGUUUAGUAAAUGGUUGGUUAUAGAUUUUUCUGAAUUAAUUAGAGGAAUUUAUAUGGAGUUUAAGGUGUUUAACUGUCUUUUAUAUAAGUGAAGAAGAUGUAUGAGAAAGAAAGACUGGUACAACUAGAAAGAGAAUGGCUCUGCAAAGAAGAGCUAGAAGUGAAGGAAAUUAAAUUACUUCAAUCCGUAGAAUUUGUAAAUAGCUACAGGCUACUCCAAAAAUCCCCCAUUAAAGAUCGCUAAAGAGUGUCUGUGGGAGAGAGUUAAUUUAUUGUUAACUACUCCCUCCGUCCCAUAUUACAUGUCCUAAUUUCCAUUUUUGGAUGUUUCAAAAUAAAUGUCUUAUUUCUAUAUUAGUAACUAAAUUUAUCAUAUUAUUCCUCUAUACCCUCAUAAUCUAUUUAAUGUACUUAUUGGGAAUGUGAGUUACAAGAAAAAUGUAUCUAAAGAAUUAAAUGAUAUAUGAAAGAGCAAUUAUUGGGGUCAUAAAAAAGUGAAGAAGUACUAAAAUUAAUAAGUAAUCAAAAAGGGAAAUUUAGGUAAAAGAAAAAUUUAUUAAUUAGCGUGCCGAAAUUAAUUAGGACGUUUAUUUUGGGACAGAGGGAGUAUUUUUUUGGUAUAUGAUCUGUGUAUAAACAUAUGUCUGUCCUAGGAUUUAUGAAUUUGUGUGCUCAGAAUUUUCUCAUAAUUUGCUAGGUGAAUUUAAAAUAAUGAGAAUUAGGAGGAGAAACCUAGUUUAUUUGCACAAAGUGAUGUUUACAAGAAAGAAAGAAACAGGAUUGUCAAUUUCAGUUUGUUAACUUUAUGAAAUACAAUGACCCUGCUAAGCAUCUAUGUAUGAUGAAUGCUAUUUUCUUUUUAUAAGUGAUAAAUGUUAUAAGAUCUGACUGAUUUCAUGUCGAGAAAUGGAAUAAUAUCUUACUGCACAAUUUUUUGUUGCUAAUGUAGUAUUUAGCCUGCUGAUUGUUUAUUUCUUAAAUUCUAGCUGACAUAAGGUGAGCAAUACAAAUAUGGUUUGGUUCAAUUGAUCUGUUACGGUUCUGGAUCACAUUACUAUAUUUAAAUGGUUUACAGUUACUUAUGACAUGAUCAAUACUCCACCGCCCUUGCAUCUAACUAUGUGAAAAUGGUGGAUUAUACAAAUUUUUAGUUGUCUCCUUUUUAUGCUUUAUUUUUUUGGGAAGGUGCAGAAAUGUCGGAAGAUAUAGAAUACCGCUGCUUUGUGGGUGGUCUCUCGUGGUCAACAUCUGAUAGAGUUCUAAAAGAGGCAUUUGAAAAGUUUGGCAAUCUUGUUGAGGCGAAGGUAAAAAUUAACUAAGCUAGCUUUUCAUUAUCUAGUUUUCUUUUUAUAAGUUUUUCUUUAUACAACUAUGAAUAUAAUAAGCAUACUUUAUUUGAAUCUUUCAGUCUUAUGACCACCUUAGAAGCUCCUGAUCCUGUCCUCAAAUACCUUAUAAAAUUUGCCAAAUAUAAGAUUUCAUUAGGUUCAAAUACCUUUUUUUUUUGAUUUUAUAACUACAUGAAUUGUCCUUCUUUUCCUGGUCAUGGUUUGUGCUAGGCUGGGACCAACCCAGCAGAUUUAAAUGCAUUUUGCGAGUAUAAUGCAUUACUAUAGAUGGGUAUAUCUGUUGUUUAAGUUGUUCCCUGAUUGAAUUUUUCAAAUGCCUUGGUAGUCUUUAUUGAGAUUCUUACAUGAAAAUGUAUUUGUUGUUUUAGGUUGUUGUUGACAAGGAAUCUGGCCGUUCUCGUGGAUUUGGAUUUGUGACUUUUGAUGACAGGCAAGCGAUGGAUGAUGCUAUUGAAGCAAUGAAUGGAAUAGAUUUAGAUGGGAGAAAUAUCACAGUGGACAAGGCUCAGCCGCAAGGAGGUAGAGAUAGUGGUAGAGGUAGUGACCGUGAUCGUGAUCGUGAUCGUGGUCGUGACCGUGACUAUGGAGGAGGUGGACAUGGAGGAGGUGGGCGUGGGGGAGGUGGUGGAGAGUGUUUUAAGUGUGGUAAACCAGGACACUUUGCUAGGGAAUGUCCUGGUGAAGGGGGGGAUAGAGGGGGUAAGUAUGGUGGCAGGGAUGAUAGGUAUGGCGGUGGUCGCGGUGGAGGUGGUGGCCGUUUUGGUCCUGAUAGGAAUGGUGAUCGUUACGGUGGGCGUAACAGGGAUGCUGGUGGCCAUGGGGGAGGUGAUCGUUAUAACCGUGACCGCUCUGGACCAUAUGAGCGCCGAUGAAUGAAUUGCUUGAAAUUGUAUGUUUGCAACUUUCAAUUAUUGCAUUAAUUCUACACCCUACAUGAAAGAAGCUACUUUUGGGUGAGUGUGAUGCUUAUGGAUCUAUCUUCAUGUACAAUUGCAGGUGAAGAAUUGGAGAUGUUGCUGUUACUGGAUGCUGGUUGUUUGGAAUUUUGUGAACAAGAUGUCUUCUUUCUUCACGUUUAGGCAAAUUGGAUCAAAGUAGUGGAUCAAACAUUUGAAAGUGUGAAACUUGGUUUCGUAACCUACUGUUUGUCCUAAAUUGUUCGAUAUUUGGUCCGCUGGAGUGUUAUGCUUGCUUGACUUGCAUAUGCAAAUCUGGUCUUACACUAUGAAUGCCAUUAUUGCUGCUGGUUUAUCUACUUUCUUUUAUAAGCAAUUACAACUGCCAAUAUUGCUGCUGGAUGCAUAAUGAUUUUCUCGAUUACUCGAUAGACAUUUGCACAUCUCAAAAGUUUUUAUGGUGAUAUAUGGGUCUCUGAGAACUAUUUGUCAUAAUGUUUGUGGGUCUACAAUCGGGUGUUAUUUCCUUUUGGAUUGGGAUGUAGAUACUUAACAAGUAAACUGGAAUUAAUCGGGUAAUUCUUUACUUUUUUUUUUUCAUUAACCUUGAACAUCUACUACUUUAUGUAUUAGACUUUUGCAAUAUUAAUUUUGUUAACCUUUUCGCAGGCUGUUUGCUAGUUAUGGUCUUUGUGGGUACAUGAUUGGCUUUCUUUGUUGCUAGUUGGGUAUGUUUUAAACUUAAAAUUGAGAGGGGCUUUUUUUGGAAGCUACAAGCCAUCUGCAAGUAAUUAUAACCCCUCAGUCACUCUUUAUAUGCUGAAAGGUGCAGUGAUGGAAGCAUUCCAUUUUCUGUAAGCACGUGGCAGGUUGUUUGGAUGCUCUUGACGAGUUCAGCAACUGUUGUCCACCCUUUUAUUGUUGUUCUCUUUCCACAUUGCUCUUCUUGGGAAGGUUCUUGUUUCUCUACACUUUUGAUGCCCUGGUUUCUGUUGCUGAGAUCUAGAUCAGGGGUUAAGUCAGAUUGCUGUUCCUAUCUCAGCCUGUGGUUCCAAUCAUUUAUUUUGUUACCUCGAGGAUGGUUCUGCCUCUAAAUUUCCUAGUGGAGAUCGCAGCUCUUUUGAGUUCAAACUUGUCCUGGAAUGAUUAUUUAUUGUUGGGGUAGUCCCAAGCCCUGGAACGAUUAAUUUAUUGUUUGGGUAGUACUGAGUUAGUCUCAUUUUUUAGUCUUAUUUCUUGGGUCCCAUUUUUCGCAAUUUGGAAGUAAUGUCUGUAGCCUUUGGCCGCUACAAGCUAGCACUUCCAUUUGAAAGUUUUAUAGCAUGCAUUUAUCAAUGGUUGAUGUGUUUGUUUGUUUUACCACGUGUAGAUCUGUAUUGUACUUGGUGAGCAGAUGUGUAUAUUUGUGCGUGUAUGUAUAUAUAUAAUAUAUGUGUGCUCACAGAUACACCUGCCUCUAAUAGGCAGAUACUUAGCUUGAAGUCUUACAAUACACAUUUCCAGAUUUCCUGCUCGUACAUGAUAUAUGUUUCUCUUUUAUAUUAAGCUGUUCUACAUCAACAUCAAUUAUUCAAUUAUAUUGCAAGGCUUUGGGGCUGAAGAUUUGGCAUAUAUUUUUGUUGGUUGAGAAAACUUUUUGGAGCUUCUAGUUGGAGUAGAGUUUUGUUAUUUAUAUAUGUAUGUGUUAUUCUUUUAGGUGGGAUUUAUUUUAUACCUUUUGGUAGGGCCAAUAGAUUAUAUUUUGGUGCGUCUUUGUCAAUAACAUAAUAGUAAUGCUACAGAUACAAACUCAGCAUAUUGAUUAACAAAUUGUUUCAAUGUAGUAUUCGGCUUCACAUAAAAAGAUGAGGUAGAGUAUGUCAUAUCGGUAGUUUGUAAAAUAUUUGUAGAAUAGUUUGUGUCUGUAACAUUAUUCAUACCAUCAACAGCCUAACCAUAGCAGAUCUCAAAAUCUAGGUUGAAGCAAUUAGUAAACUACAUGUUUUAUCAAAACUUGAGUAUUGCUUGCUAUAUCCACUGAAAAAACAUGCAGACUCUUGGCAAACUAGGAACAAUUGCUAGUUGCUAGUUGCAAUAUUCAUUGUCAAUAUUCCAAUGUGUCUAAUUAGUUGAAAAUUCAGAUGUCAUUUUGUUGGGGUACAUGUUGUAUUUCUCAGAACUAUGUGUUCUUAAAUGUUUUCUUGAGUUAUGUUGUUAGAUGUUUAUUUCUUCAUCUUUAUGUAAUCGGUAAAGGUGGUUUUGUUCUUCUAAUCUUCUUCAUCUUAUGUCUGUAGAUUAAAUUUAAAUACUUAUUUUUGACAACUAAAUAAUUUAAACAUAAAUUAUUCAUUCACAAGUUGCACCAAGAACAUGUACUCUCUAUCUUAGUUACUACCUUCGUUCUUAAAAAUUAUCGUUUAAGGUUUUGGCACAUGGAUUAAGAAAGUAUCAUUUAUCAAGUAAAAUUUGUUUGAAAUUCCAUCACUACCUCUUUAUGGGAAGUUGAAAACUCUUAAUAUAAGAGAGAUAAUUUCUUGGGACAAUGAGAGAAGGUUUGGGUAAUAUAGGAAAGUAAAUAAUUUAUUCUCUUUGAAAGUUGUAAACGACAAAUUUUUUGGAACAAAUUUUUUCUUCUAAAACGGAAAUCUUUUAGGAAUGGAGGGAGUAAUUUUUAGGGUUUCAAAUUGUAUUUUAGCUUUGAUGAUAUUCUUGGUAUUGUUAUCUUUUUAAGAGAGAAUGAUAUCUUCUGCUAAAAUUCUCAUUCCAGCGCAAAUGUACAAUGUUUAAUACAUAAGAUACAAUCAUCGUUUGCACGGAAAUUUAGGACUGAAAAUAUCAGCUCCAUUUAUAUUAAGAAUGCUGAUAUGAUAUACUACUAGUAUAUUUCAAGAUAUUGCCAUUUUAGUUGUUUUUUGAAAGUGUAGAAAUGAAAUAGAAAGUCCUCCUUUCAUAUAAAAAAGGAACCCUAUUCACCCACUGAUUGAAAAAGUGGAUUUUGGAAAAACUGGGAUGUUUUAUUAAUUUCACAUUGCUAUAGUAUAUUUUACAGUACAACUGAGUGGCAUACGGGAGGGACCAUCAAAAGUCAAAUAAAACUCUCAUUUUAAGACAAACAGAGUAGUAACCCUUAGACGCAAAGUUGGACAUUACACAUUUACAAUCUAGUAGAGCCAAUCAACUUGGUGAGCCCAAAUGUAAUGGCCAUAGCCAUCCAGCCUCCAAUCAGCACCCUGGCACAAGACUUGAACACUGGAGUCCUUCCCAUCACAGCUCCAACCCAUCCAAACACGACCAAUGCCAAUGUCACUGCAGCCACCACCACAUCAAGCCUCACCAUAUGAUCCCCAAUAAAAGCAGCAGCUAGUAGUGGAACUAUGGCUCCUACCAUAAAUGCAAGGGCUGAUGCUAUAGCUGCCUGCAGGGGAUUUGGCAACUUUUUCUUCUCAUUUUCUUCUCCAUUCGACAAAUUAUUGUUCCUUCUCUUGUCCCUCUUUUUUUGAGCUACCUCGAUAUCAAGUUGGGAGUAUACAGAAACAAACUCUCCAAUUGCCAUACUACAGGCACCGGCAACUAGCCCUGCAAAGCCAGUAAGGAUCAUGGCUUUGACAUCUUUUUUAACUGCGCCUACUCCCAUCAUUAGUGAUGCAAUGGACACCAAUCCAUCAUUGGCUCCAAGCACAGCGGCUCUAAGCCAUUGCGCCCUUUGUGAGUAGUCAGUCUCUUCCUCUUCUGGUGCUGCUUGUUGUUUUGGGACUUGGGUGUUAUUUGGGGCAGCCAUGUAUACAGUUAAGUGAGGAGGAUAAUUAUUAAACAAGGAAGAGAAUGGAGAGAAUAUGAUGAGUUUCUUGUGGAAUACACAAUGCCCUCAUGAAGGAUAUUUAUAGAGUAGGAGGGGUUAAAAAAUUUGGGUCACUGUUGAUAGUGCUUUGUGUAAUAGUGGUCUAAAAGGAUAUGACAGUGUGGAAGCCACAAGCCCUUGGUGGUGUGUUCAAAAUUUAAAUAAAUGAAUGAGUUAAAGUUUCAUAUACCGUUGUGUAUACACGAGUGGUGUUAGGAUUGAGACAUUGAUAAAAUACUCAUGUUGGUCGAAAUUAUCGUUAUUAUAAUGAUGUGUCAUUACCCUAACAGCGUUCGUGUAAUACCCUACUCCAUCUAUUUUUGACAUGGGGACUGUAAAUUGUUUACUGUCUCCUCCUAGUCUAUAUAGGCACUCUCAUUUUCCUUCUCUCUCCCCUUAUGUGCACAUUGUUAGAAUUUGAGCCUAAUUUGAAAUGAGUUUCAUUAAUCAUUUGAAAUGAAUCCACAUAUCAACGUGUUAUACUCUAUGAGAAGAUUUAAAAUUUAAAAUUAAGUAUUUGGAAGCUCAAAUCCAUGGGAUAAUGAAUGAAAAAUUAACUCCCAAAAAUUACCUUUAGAAAUGAUAAUAAAUACUUGUGGGAAGCUAAGUUCUACAUCGGUUAAGAACUAAAGUAUUAAUGGGUUUAUAUACAAUAGAGUGCUCUUAGGUUUGGGCCCUAAAGGCACCCCACUUUUGUGAAAAGGGAGAGGACCUAGCCAAUAUUUGGUUCAUACUACUUCGUAUUAGCCAAUUUUCCAAGCAUUCUAGUCUUCAUUAUUACAUAAAUUAUUCGUAGUUUAGUUGUAAGGAGGACAUAAUUGUCUUAAGGACAUAGUACCAAGUAAGUUUUAUAUAUAUAGAUCAGUUUUCCUAACACACAUUAUUAAGCUAGCCCCUAAUUGUGCUAGAUUUGUGUUUACUGCAGCCUCUAGUUUAUGGUAUCUCUACUGUUUCUCAUACAAGAUCUCAAGUACUAAGUCUGUCAAACUUAUGACCUUAUAGGCAUAGCUAGUGAUCAUCUCUUGGAAAUAUGUACUUCAGUUUCUAAGAGCUAUCUAUGUUUUGUUUUUUUUGACUCAUUACCUCAAAAAAAUUUAUGUCAACACAUCCAAUUACUUGAGAUAAUGAAAAGUAACUAGGCUGCGAUUCUUCUGGUUUACAGUUCUAUUUAUUUAUUUCUUGAACUUAAUUAGUCCAUAUAAACAAACUUUGAAGAGUAAUUGCUUGUGGAAAAUUAUGGUAGUAACAUCUCAUGUUAUUGACAAAACCAUCUACUUUGGAUUGCCACUGAAUUUGAAACAUAUGGAAGAUAGACCAAGAGAAUCAUUCAGGCACUUUGUUGUUUUCCUUGGGGGGAAACAUUUUUAUUUUCAAUAAUGCAACUCUUUUAGCAGUAUGAAGAGUAAAUGCUAGAUAAUUAUGAGGAAGAAGUUACGUAAGUUAGGUUCUAUUCCAUUUGAAUAGAGAACCCCUUUGGUAGAUGAAGUGCUGCAUAAGCACAUACGUAAACACAGAUUUUGUGAAGAUUCAUAGCUGUUAUAAAAUUGUUGGGAGUGUGUGUGCAUUCCACACACCAGUGUGAAAAUAAACCAUUGGAAAAUUGUUGGAGUGUGGAAUCCAAACAAAGACCGCAGGCUCCUCAUUAUAAAAAUCGAAGCUAAAAGGAAAAGUUUUUUGUUUCAUUUCAAACUCCUUUCCACUCAAGAAAAUACCGAACUGGUUUGCAUUCUGCUACUUUUUUAAAAAUUAUUUAUUGACGUUUGGAGUGCUUCUUUCAAAUUCAUUUUGCCCAAUUAUAGUAUUUAACAACAUCCUAUUCCAACCAACUAUGAUAUAUAUAUAUAUAUAUAUAUAUAUAUAUAUAUAUAUAUAUAUAUAUAUAUAUAUAUAUAUAUUAAUUUCCUUCGAACUAUGGGACUAUUAAUCAGAAUUUGAAGUGUUUAGUCAACUGAUUAGUUACUUUUAUGGAUAAAUUAUAAAUUAUAAUAUUAUAUAUUCAAAAUUUAUAUUGUGGUUCUGGUCAUCUUCCUUGGAGACAACUGAGAGGAGCCACUCAAAGCAAGAAAAUGAAUUAAAUUAUUCUCAUUUACAAACAAUUGAUACCAAGGUAUAAUUAAAUCAGUAAGACAAAUGAGUGCAAUAUUAAUUAAUUAAUUAUCAAACUUAUUUAACAUUAUUUUAUCUUAUAGUAAUAUUGUUUAUUUAUUAUAGGCGGAAGGACAUGAGAAAGCAAAUGAAUUAAUACCAUCUCAUAACAAAGAUCAAAUUUAACUAAUAUUAGCAUGCUUCAUAUUAAGGUGUCAUAUGACCCUCCUCUGGCCCCCGUAGUUCCGCCGGUGGCUUCAAAAGGGAACUAUUGGUUCCUCUGGUGGGUUGGUUGGUUGUGAGUUCUUUAAUAUUCUGUGACUAUAUUUAAGUUUAUGGCCUUUAAUAUGGUCUAGUGCUAAACAAUAUUCCGUUUCCCUUUUUUGCUAGUAUUUACUUGAUGUAUUUAUUUUUCAGAAUAGUAUUUGAGUUUUAUCAUUUUGCUAUUGUAGAUGGUGGUUCAUAUGUAGUCUUGGAAAUUCCAUAGAGAAAAUUAGGAUACUUCAGUAAAAGAGUUUAUGAAAACAAUUAGAAUGAUAACUAAAAAUGACAGGAGUACAGGAACUCUGACAUUUUCAGAAGGAUUCUGGUAUGAGCACUUAAUGCUGCUUAGUGACGAAAUCACCCAAAACAAUAGGUCAAAAUCGCUCUAACGGUUGAUGGAGUAAUUGAUUGUGAAAUCAAACUGACAAAAUACACUCACAUAAACAUACACAAAGAGAUAAAAUAUGAACACAAUAAUUUUAGGUGGAAACCCAAUUGGGAAAAAACCACGGAGAGAGAGUAAUCCACUAUAAUAAUGGAAAAAAACCACGGAGAGAGAGUAAUCCACUAUAAUAAUAUUCGGAGUACAAGUUGUGUAUUUGUGUUGUAUCUCUUGUGUCAUUUUCCCUGCUUGUUGUAUAUAUAGAAGUCACUUCCACCCGCAUCCAACUAGGAGAAGGACUCCUUAUCCCUCCGAAUAAGCAAAUACAAUCAUAACUCUCCCACUGUGACAAUAAAUACAUAUGGGCCAUCACCAGAUGGGCCAUCACCAGAUCCGGAUACUGAGUUGCACCAUAGCUAGACCCAAAUAAUCACGUCCCAACACUUAGUGAAUAUCUAGAUCCAUCGUUAAUAAAAUCCAUCGUUAAUAAAAACGCAAAUAAAAUGAAUAUCAUUAAGAUUGUAAGUGUCCAUUAAAUACCUUAAUCGCUUCAAUUCAUGGUGGCAGGUUCUUACAUAGUUUUUCUUUAAGCUGAACAUUUUUUUUCCUUCUACUGUUCUUAUUUCUAUAAGCAGAAAAUGCAGAAAUGAUACUUGAGUUCUAAUUUCCUUUAGGCUUUUCCCCUUGGUAUAGUACUUCAAUCCCUAUUACCUAUAGUUCAAGUGGGAAGCAAACAUCCUUGUAAGAUAACCCUUGUGGUGUUUAGUUUUUGGACUAAGAAUGUCCUUACUUCCCUUCAUUUGAAAGCGCUAAAACUAGCAUUUAGUAAGGCCGUUGAUAUUGGUAGAGCAAAAAUGAUGCUGCCUAUAUGUAUUUAGCGACACUUCUACACUUUUUUGAACGAAACUUCAAACUUUACGUUGCUGUGGCAUUAUCAACGGGGUUAAGAUUAAGGGUGUUUUGUGAAAAUUUGUUGAUGGAGUGGCCAUCUUACUGCAACAGUUAUGGAGGUUAGAUGUAAUUCCCAUAGUUAAAAUAUAUAUUUUAUUAGCCUUAGUAAGUUAUAUACGAGAGUAUAGACGUACUGAAGUAGAUUUUCAUAGGCAGUUAAUGAAAUUCUCAAGUAUCAGUGAUUUAAGAAGAACAAUCCAUUUAACACUAUGUGAAGAUAAACUCUCUUAUUGGUAACUUGACUAUAGGCAUCUGCCGGUAAUUAAGGAUCAUGGCUUUGAUGCUCUUUUUAACAGUCCGACACCCAUCAUAAGCGAAGCAACUGAAACCAACCCAUCAUCGGCUCCCAUUACAGCUGCUCUAAGCCAUUGUGCCCUUUGUAAGUAGUCCAAGUCAUUGUCUUUAGGUGUUUGGUCUUUUCUUUGCUCAGUAUCAUUCUUAAGAUCAACUGGAAUUUGGAUAUCAUUCCGGGACGCCAUUAAGGUACGUACGUAAAAGAAUAAAUGAUCACCAGAAUAUAUUAAUGAAGAGGUAGGUUAUGAUAGAGCUUGUUGGGUAAGCAAGGAUC
This 60520-nucleotide long non-coding RNA is filed under the name Panax ginseng (ginseng). Its description in RNAcentral is "long non-coding RNA (PGIN_LNC016264)". The record is from RNAcentral. Lineage: Eukaryota; Viridiplantae; Streptophyta; Magnoliopsida; Apiales; Araliaceae.